Molecule: long non-coding RNA, 81108 nt
Filed under: Citrus maxima (pomelo)
Lineage: Eukaryota; Viridiplantae; Streptophyta; Magnoliopsida; Sapindales; Rutaceae
Description: long non-coding RNA (CMAX_LNC002512)
Rfam family: Small nucleolar RNA Z247 (bases 25034-25170)
Source: RNAcentral
ACAACAACAAUCAACUAAAAAGUAAGCAAGAAUCAUAGACAAACAAUUUAUAAACCAAAUGAGAUGAAAAUUUCUUUAUUAAAUUAAUAGAAGGUCAGUUGACAGGAAAUAAAGAGAACAAACAAUAAUUAGAUGAAUCAAAACCCUAGAGCAAGAAAAUACAAUAAGAAGGAAGCAUCUGAAACAAGAAAAUGAAAUCAACAGCUCACUGUCUCCCGCGGCCGGCGCGAUGGCUACGGUUGAACGAGCUACAAUGACAACUGCUGUCGAUGAGGUAGCUGAAUCACGAUCAUUGCCGCGAACUAGCUAGGACUCUGAAUCACGACCACGAUCUGCCCUACGAGCUAAUAAAAAAAAUUGAAUCGAUUGGCAGCAGUGGAUGGUGCGUGACUGAUGGGCUGACGAUAGUGAAAUUGACAGAGUGAGACGAUGAGACUGGAGAGGGAGAUGGUGAGACCGUGAGAAAGAGAGAGGGAGACCAACGAUGCAGAGAGUGAAAGUGAGCAUGAAAGAGAGAGAGACCGGAGAUGGAGAGAAUGAGAGUGAGCGUAAGAGACAGACAGACCGAAGAUGGAGAGGAGAGUAAGCGGGUGAGAGAGGGGGGCGUGGCUGCUGCUGUGCUUGUAGAAUUAGAAAGGGGGAUUGCCACUUUCCCCCAACAUAAAUUAACAUAUAUCAUUUAUUCUUCUAUUAUUUUUAUAAUGGUUAAAAAUUAUUAUAAUAGAAUAAAUUUAUAAUAUUACUUUUAUUUUUAAUUACUCUUUUAUUUAUAUUUAUUAUAAAUUAAAUAGAUUACAUGAAUAGAAACUAAAUAAAAAAUUAAGAAUUAAAAACAAGAAAUAUAUGUUUUGAUAUGAGCAAAAAAAUUAAUAAUAACUUUUUUUUUAUAAUUAUUUAUUUUGUGAAUAUUUUCUUAUAAUAAAUAUUUUGUAAUAUUUUAAAAUUAAAUGUAAAAAGUAUAGGUAAAAUAUUUUAUUAUUUAUCUUAUAAUAAAUUUUUAUUUGUCAUUCAAAUUUUAUUAUAAUAAUUUUUUUAUCAUUUUAUAAUAACUUUCUUAUAUAUUUAUUAUAAAAAAAAUUUCACAAAAUAAAUAAGUACAAGAAAAAAAUUUUAUUAUUAAUUUUUUUCUUAUAUCAAAACAUAUAUUUCUUUUUUUUAAUGCUUAAUUUUUUAUUUAGUUUCUAUUAAUAUGAUUUAUUUAAUUUAUAAUAAAUAUAAAUAAAAGAGUGGUUGAAAAUAAGGGUAAUAUUAUAAACUUAUAUUGUCAUGGAGGUUUUUGGCUAUUAUAAAAACAACAUGGGUGAAAAUGGUAUAUGUUCAUUACUGUAGGGGAGAAAUUGGCAAUCUCCCAAUUAGAAAUUAGGUCAUGAUUUUUUUUUAGCCGAUUAAGAUUUUUUAUAUAAAUGUUUUACAUAUAAUGACGGUUACAUCCAAAACCGUCAUUGUUAUUUUUUACUUAAAUGGCGGUUCUUUACAACCGUCAUUAAUACUUUAAUAAGACAUAUAAUGUCAGAUUUUUAUAUAUAAUCGUAGUUAAAAAUCAGGUUAUAUUUUAUUUUGAUGUUUAAUGACAGUUAUAUAAUAGAACCGUUAUUAUAAAUAUUAUAUUUUUAAUGACAGUUUUUACACAAAAUCGUCAUUAAAAGUAACUAAAAGUAAAACUAUAUUUUAACUUGACACUUAAUGAUUGUUAUAUAAUUUAACCGUCGUUGUAAAUAUUACACAUUAAUGACUAUUUUUAUACAGAAUUGUCAUUAAAAGUAAUUUUACCUAGACAUUUAAUAAUUGUUAUAUAAUAAAAUGGUCAUUGUAAAUAUUAGAUAUUAUGACGGUUCAUAUAAUAACGGUUAUCAAAUACUUUUAAUGACGGUUGUAAAGAAAAACCGUCAUAAUAUAUGGGCAUUGUUUUGCAUUUUUGUAUUCGUGUUUUUACCCAAGGGUUUGGGGUUAAUUCACUAUAAGAAAACAAGUAAUAGAUGACAGACAUUUUGUGACAGAUUCGUAAAAAAUUUAUUUAUAUUAUAAAAAUAUGAUAGACUCGUGAUAUAAUUUCAGUUCUGGAUUAAUGAUGAUUUUAUGAUAAAAUUAUUGUCUAUCAAGAAUUCAUUUAUACAAAUUUAUUCCAUCAAGAAAUUAUGGUAAUUUCAAUAUAAUUUGUGCUGCUACUUAAUUAUUCAUUUUUUUUCCCACUUUGUGUCUGUAUGUGUGUGUGUUCUUGUAGUGUUUGUGAACGGGAAGUUCUGCAAGGACCCCAAGCUUGCGAGAGCUGAAGAUUUCUUCUUCUCAGGGCUAGACAAGCCUGGCAACACAGCAAAUCGACUUGGUGUUGAUGAAACAGAUGCAAAUGUUGAGCAGAUUCCAGGACUCAACACCCUUGGCAUAUCAGCAUUCCGCGUUGACUAUGCGCCAUACGGCCAAAGGCCACCUCACAUUCACCCCCGGGCCAGUGAAAUCCUGCUGGUCCUGGAAGGAACUCUUCAUGUCGGUUUUGUGACAUCAGACCAGCUAAAUAACAAACUCAUCGCAAAAGUUCUGAAUAAGGGAGAUGUUUUUGUGUUUCCAAAAGGUUUGAUUUACUUCCAAUUUAACAUUGGAAAAACAAAAGCAGUUGCCUAUUCUGCUCUAAACAGCCAGUUCCCCGGUGAAAUUACCAUAGCCGACACGGUCUUUGGAACUUUUGCGAUGAGUUUGUUAUUUAGCUGGUCUGAUGUCACAAAACCGACAUGAAGAGUUCCUUCCAGGACCAGCAGGAUUUCACUGGCAUGGGGGUGAAUGUGAGGUGGCCUUUGGCCGUAUGGCGCAUAGUCAAUGCGGAAUGCUGAUAUGCCAAGGGUGUUGAGUCCUGGAAUCUGCUCAACAUUUGCAUCUGUUUCAUCAACACCAAGUCGAUUUGCUGUGUUGCCAGGCUUGUCUAGCCCUGAGAAGAAGAAAUCUUCAGCUCUCGCAAGCUUGGGGUCCUUGCAGAACUUCCCGUUCACAAACACUACAAGAACACACACACAUACAGACACAAAGUGGGAAAAAAAUGAAUAAUUAAGUAGCAGCACAAAUUAUAUUGAAAAUUAUAUGUUUCAUCAGUUCAGCUUACGUACCACCAUCCUUGGGGUCAUUGAUGGCUACAAAGAUAUCUUGAAGCGGGCUGGGGUCAGAGGCUGAGGCCAAAGAAGAAGCCAAAGCUAAGAGAGCAAAACCUAUAAGAAAUUGAAUUGCCUUCAUGGUGAUUAAUUAACAGGAUGUACCUAUCUCAAAACUUUAAUCAAGUGUUGUGAUUUGAGAAUCUUGCGAGGGAAACUAGACUAUUUAUAGAACGGAGUCCAUGAACGAGUUUGUGUGUUCAAUUAAUAGUCCUCGAAGCAGGUCAAGACUUGCUGAGUCCUCAGUGCUUAUCUUUGUAAUGUUUUGCGGUCCUCAUUUUCGUUUUUGUUUUUAAAAUUUACGUGUAGAACUUGUUCGGUGGUACACAUCUUAAAUAUAAAUUGCAAACAUACGAAACAAAGUCUGGCUGAUAGUGAUAAAAUCCAAAACAGGUUAGACACGUUUGGGCCAAUCUUCAAAACGAACCGUAAAAUAUAAUAAGAAACAAUAUUUUAACGCAUUUUCCAAAGCAUAAUUAAAAUAUAAUUUUUUUCAUUGGAAAGAAACGAGUUGAAGAAUUUAUGAAAAUGGGUGAGAAAGAAAUUCAUGUCUCUGGCAAGCAGACUAGCAGUUGGACGUCGUGUUCUGUAGAUAUCGAUGUUACCGGACUUGAUUGGUUUGUUGUUGGGCUUAAUGAAGAAGCAUUAUUAGCCUUUUUUCCUUUUUCAUAGCAAUUUUCGUAGCUGCUUUAACCAUUUUUAGUUCUAUAAAUGCUUUACGAAGUCAACGAUGCACAUGUUUUUUUCAUUACGUGUUAAAGACACAGAUCAUCUGCUUCAAAACGUUAAGACUAGGAUCAGGAGGAACCAAAUUCUUCCAUCUUAUUUUCAGCGGUCACGUUAAUUAGAGCCUGGAGUCGGCACGUUUCGUUAGUGAUAUCCUUUUACAAUGUCAAUUGAUAUAUAUCAUUUCAACUUUAAAAGCUAAUUUUAAUAUUGAAUAAUUUUUUUUAAAAAUCCCUUUUAGUAAAAUCAUGUAGAUUUUGAAAAGUAAAAAAAGAGUAGUUUUUUAAAAUUUUAUUUUGAUAAACACUUUUAUACUUAAUACAAUUUCAUAUAUAUCCUUAUAUAUAAGAGAAAAAUCCAAAAUCAUCCUUAUUAAUUAAAAAUAAAAUUAUUAAUUUGAAAGAGAUUAUUAUUAUUAUUACCAAUUAUAUUGAGAUAAUAAAAUAAAAAUAAAAUUAAUAAUAUAAAACAUUUAUUUUAGUUAUCAAUUAUUAUAUAGACACAACUAAAAAUAUUUUAUUUACAUGUUUAUAAAUGUGUAAAUAAAUUUUAUUCAACAAAUUUUCUCUUCAAUCAUUUACAUUCUUACAUCAUUUUAAUAGUAAGAUUUACCAAAUAAAUACGACUACUUUUAGAACUCACAACAUUGUAGCAAAUGGCUAACCGAUUGUUGAAAACGACAAACUAAUAAUUUCCAGAAAGCAUGUUCUACAAAGGGUUGUUAAAAUGAUGAUUCUGGAAAAUAACGAUGAAUCGUUUACUGAAAACGGUGAUUCGAUAAUUUUUAGAUUGUAACUGUGAGCCAUUUAGCAAGAACGGAUAGCCAAAAUUUAUUUUGCAAGUCUCUGGAAAUAAACAGCUAACCGAUAACUUCAAACGGUGAACCGAUUAUUUAAAAUCUUAGCUUAACGGUCAUUUGGACUAGUCAAAAUGGUUAGCCGAUAGCAGUUAAUGACGAUCCGAUUUCUCCCAGAAAGUCAACAACGGCUUGUUUUCAGCUUCAACUAUAAAAUGACUCAAUCAAAUUCAAAUGAGAGGUGAUCCAAGAGUUAUCAUUGAGCUUACUGUUGAGUAUUAGAAAAUGUAUAUUUAUAAAGGAGAAAACCAUCAUUUUACAUUUCAAGUCUUACUAACAACUCUUACUUUUAUGUAUUUAACCUUCUUGUGAUGUAAUUACGUGUGUGUUAUUUUAAUUAAGUAUUUUAUGUAUUUUAGGGGCAUUAUAGUCAUUUCACAAUAAAGAAGAGAUCAGACGGCAAAACGGACAUCACUUUUGAACUCAGGACGGUCGAAAACCUUAGGAGGAGCAUAAAAGGAAAAAUGGCACUAUUCACAUGUACGGUACUAUUCACGUAUACGGUACUGUAUAUGUUACUGUUCAUGACACUGUUCACAUAGACGGAUCGAUGACGUGGCAUUGACCGAUGAUGUGGCAUUGACUGAUGAGGUGUCACGAUCCUGUUGGACUAAAAUUCUUAUGUACUGUUGAUGGUGACGUGGCAGCAUAUCAGUGGACGAAAAAUCUCGCGUACGGUGCAUGCAUCACACAGGAUUAUUUUCAACCAAACCAUGUUACUGUUCAUCCGGGUCAACCCGUGUUACUGUUCAUCCGUGUGGUCAAACCGUGGACUGUUGACUGAUGACGUGGCGCAAUCCUGAGCGUCCAAACUGUUUUUAAUCCGAUGGCCAUGAUUUACUCCAUGUAUCUAUAAAAAAGGGGCCUUCCCCCCCUAAUUUGAUAGCUCUGAAUCCAUUUUUGGGAUCCAUUUUCUAUAAUUCCUUCUCCAUCUUGUAUUUUCUUCGUAUUUUAAUAAAUUCCCAUUUUGCCCCUAGUUCAGUUAUGUGUGGCUAAUUUUCUUUCAAGCUUGGGUUGAAGGUGAAGUCUCAACAUGUGUCAUGGGCUUUAUUUGGUAAAUUUAUUUUCUCUUCCCCUCUAGUUUUUGUGGAUGUUUUGACUUCUCGUCGACAAAUAAUACUAAUCUUGUCUAAUACCGCCUUGGUUUCACCGGCCCUCUAGUACAAGGUUAUUAUUAUUUGGCACGAUAAGCCCUUAGCACCAUAUUGAUUAGAGCGUGGUUCAUGAGGUGUGGAUUCCCCCUCAUGAUUUAAUUGGCAUUAAUACGGAUUAUUUAGCCCAUGAUGCAUGUUGAUACUGAUCCAGAUAUCCAAGUACGUCAUUUCAAUAGAUUUCGCUUCAAUUUAUUCUCGCCAUUGCAAUUCCAAUUUUAGAAUUUAUUAUCGCCAUCUCAAUUCCAAUUUUAGGAUAAUUUAAAUCACUUCCACCACAAUUUCAACCACCCAUUUACAAAAUUAAUUCUACAUAUAAUUAAAAUCCACCUCCUCGUGGGAUCGACACUCAUCACCAUUGAUCCAUACUACAAUAGAUUCGUGCGCUUGCGAGUACAUUAAAAUUUGCACAACAAGUUUUUGGCGCCGUUGCCGGGGAGGUAAGUAAUUUUAAUUCAUAGAAUUAAUUUUUGUGAAUAAUUUUUUUUAAUUGUUUUCUUGUAUUUUUUUAAUUAAAAAAAAGAAGAAAAAAAAAGUGAAUCUACAUUUAAAGGUUAGUAUUUCUUUUCUUUUUCUCUUCUUUAAAAUUCUGUAAUUUAAUUUUUAAUUUAUUUUUCUUUGUAAUUUUUGUUUAUCUUAUUAAUUUAAUUUUUAGUUAAUUUAUUUCACGUAUUUAUUUUUGUAUAUUUUUAUAGUAAGGUUGUAAUAGUGCAAUAAGGUUAGUAUCGUAAUUUCUCCCUCUUCUUUAUUUUUAUUUGUUUUGUUCCCAUCUUAAUUUUUUAUUUUAUUUGUUUUGCAUGCAUGGUCGAAGGUCAUUAUUACCUAAUCUUGAACUUAUAGACCUUGAACUUGAGAAAACACUUCGCACAUACAAGAACGUUAAAAAUAAAUUUGAAAUGGAUUUACAAGCACCACAGGAGAGGCCAUUUAAGGAUUAUUUUAGUCCUUUAGCUAAUUUGAGCACAUCAUGCAUAAAAUACCCAAAUGUAGCUGCUAGGAGUUUUGAACUAAAACCUAGUGUGCUAAAUUGUCUCCCCACAUUUUAUGGCCUAGAAAAUGAGGAUCCAUAUAAUCAUCUAAAUGAUUUUCAUGCCAUAUGUCAAACUUUUAAAUACGAGAAUUUUUCAGACGAUGAUGUAAAACUUAGACUAUUCCCAUUUUCUUUAAAGGAUAGAGCUCGUUCAUGGUUAAAUACUUUACCUGCUAAUAGCAUUUCAUCAUGGGAACAAAUGGUAACGAAAUUUUUGAAUAAAUAUUUCCCAGUGCAUAAAACCAAUGCUAUUCGCAGGGAAAUUUCAGAGUUUACCCAAAGAGAUGACGAGCAAUUUUUCGAAACGUGGGAGCGAUUCAAUGGGCUACUCUUGAAGUGUCCACAUCAUGGGUACGAAAAAUGGCACCAAUGCCAAUAAUUUUUGGAGGGAUUAUUGCCGAAUGUGCAAGAAUGACUAAUGGCAACAAGUGGAGGAGAGCUAAUGUCAAAAAGUGCAUCAGAGAUUUGGGAAUUUUUCCAGCGACAAGCAGAUAAUUCCCAACAACGGAGUUGAUCACUCAGGAAUACUAGAAGAAUUAAGGGAGUAAAUGAGGUUCAAAUUGGCGAGUCAACUUCGGGAAUCAAAGAAGUCAAGGAGAUGGUUGAAGAUCUUGCUCGACAAAUAGCAUCGUUAUCGACUGCUAAAUCAACAGAACCACAUGACCAUGACUCAUACCCAGAUCAAGCCAAUGUCAUAGGUGUAAUGAGAAAGCCAUCAAAUUACAACCCAUACUCCAACACAUAUAAUCCUGGAUGGAGAGACCACCCCAAUUUUUCAUGGUCUCAAGAAUUCCAACAGAAUGGACCAGCAGCUCCAACUCCACCAAUGCAACAAAUUUCUCAAAAUCCUCAAGCCUCUCAGCCCCCAUUUAGACCAUACAAUCAGAACCAGAACUACUCUCAACCCAGACCAUGGGAGGAUUCAUUCCAGAAUCUCAAGAAUGUUACUUACUCCACGAUUGAGCAACAGAACCGCACCAUUGAUGGACUACGAAAUGAGUUGAGAGUAGGCUUCAACUCACAAGCUCAAUUAGUUUCAAGCCUCGAGAAGAUGAUGGGACAACUUGCUUCUUCAGUUCAGACCUUGGCAAUGACUGUUGAGAAAAGAAAAUUUCCAAGUUAACCAGUGCCUAAUCCUAAAGGGGUACAUGAAGCAAGUACCAGUUCACCACAGCAGCAUGGAGAGGUCAAAGCAGUCAUGACCUUGCGAAAAGGAAAAGAAGUCGACAACAAAGUAGAGAUACCGGUGACAAAAGAAAAUCAAAUUGUACCUAUGAAUGUUGAGGAAUCAUCACCGGAGGAGAAAGAAGAAACCAACCCGCGAGAAUACGUUCCCAAAGCUCCAUUCCCCCAGAGGUUAGCUAAAGGAAAGAAGGGAAAAUCCACAGGUGAGAUUCUCGAAAUCUUCAAACAGGUAAGUGUUAAUAUCCCUUUAAUUGAUGCUAUUAAGCAAGUUCCAUCUUAUGCCAAGUUUCUUAAAGACCUUUGUACUAAAAAGAGAAAUAUGCAUGUUCAAAAGAAGACAUUUUUAACAGAAAACGUUAGUUCUAUACUCCAACAUAAAAUUCCUUUAAAAUGCAAAGACCCAGACUCCCCCACUAUCUCAUGUAGUAUAGGGAACCACACAAUUGAGAAUGUUUUGUUGGAUUUAGGAGCUAGUGUAAAUCUUUUGCCUUACUCUGUAUUCGUGAAACUUAGACUGGGAGAAUUACACCCAACUCCAGUGGUGUUACAGCUUGCAGAUCGGUCCACGAAAAUACCUCGUGGUAUUGUGGAGGACGUGCUUAUCCAGGUAGACAAGUUUUAUUUUCCUGUUGAUUUCAUUAUAAUUGACACUAAACCAAUAUAGGAUUCAAGAAAGCACAUCCCUAUUAUUCUAGGCCGACCUUUCUUGGCGACUGCGGAUGCUCACAUUCAAUGCAGGACUGGAAAUAUGCAGUUGUCCUUCGGCAACAUGACUAUGGAGCUAAAUAUUUUCAACAUUGCCAAACAACCUCACAGUGUAGAUGAUGGAAUUGUUGAUGUGGAUUUAAUAGAAACAAUAGUUGAUAAUACUUUUCUUUCAAACCUUAGUGAUGAUCCUUUACAAACAUGUUUAACUCACUUUGGUUUGAAUUUUGAUAUUGACAGAUCGGUCGAUAAGGUCAACGCCCUACUUGACUCAGCACCAUCUAUGGACACUAAUAAAUGGAAGUCAAGAGUAGAACAACUAGCACCAUCAGAAAAGAAACUCAUCCCAUCAUCAGAAUCACCACCGAAACUCGAGCUCAAACCAUUGCCCAACACAUUGGAACAUGCAUUUUUGGGAGAAGAAAGUACUUUGCCGGUAAUCAUCUCAUCAUCCCUAAAUGACGAACAAAAAGGUAAGUUGUUGGAUGUUUUAAAAGAGCACAAAGGAGCAUUAGGAUGGACCAUAGCAGACAUAAAAUGUAUAAACCCAGUAGACUGCAUGCAUUACAUUCAUCUUGAUGAAAAUGCUAAAUCUACUAGGGAAAUGCAACGUCGGUUAAAUCCUAAUAUGAAAGAAGUUGUUAGAACAGAAGUCCUUAAGCUAUUAGACGCAGGUAUCAUUUACCCAAUUUCUGAUAGUUCAUGAGUCAGUUCUGUACAAGUUGUCUCCAAAAAGUCAGGAGUCACAGUAGUUACCAAUGCUGAUAAGGAAUUGAUACCAACUAGAGUAACUACAGGAUGGCGUGUAUGCAUUGAUUAUAGAAAGUUGAAUUCUGUCACACGUAAAGACCAUUUUCCUUUACCAUUUAUUGAUCAAAUGCUUGAUAGAUUAGCAGGCCAUGAAUUUUAUUGUUUUCUAGAUGGCUACUCAGGAUAUAAUCAGAUUCUCAUAGCACCAAAAGAUCAUGAGAAAACUACUUUCACUUGCCCUUUUGGCACUUUUGCAUAUAGGAAAAUGCCAUUUGGAUUAUGUAAUGCACCUGCUACAUUCCAACGAUGCAUGUUGAGCAUUUUUUCUGAUAUGGUUGAACGAUUCCUUGAAGUCUUUAUGGAUGAUUUUUCUGUCUUUGGUGAUUCGUUUGAUCAAUGUUUACAUCAUCUAACGCUAGUUCUGCAGAGAUGUACCGAGAAGAACUUAGUCUUGAAUUGGGAGAAGUGUCAUUUUAUGGUAAAACAAGGUAUUGUUCUCGGUCACAUCAUUUCAAGCAAAGGUAUUGAGGUUGACAAAGCCAAGGUGGAUCUCAUUUCUAAUCUUCCUCCACCCAAAACAGUCAGAGAAGUAAGAUCUUUCCUUGGGCAUGCUGGUUUCUAUAGACGUUUCAUUAAAGAUUUUAGCAAAGUUUCUAGACCCUUAUGCAAUCUACUUGCUAAGGAUGUACCUUUUAUCUUUAAUGAUUCAUGUCUUGUGGCAUUUGAAAAAUUAAAGCAGUUGUUGACAUCAUCACCCAUCAUUCAGACCCCAAACUGGAGCUUACCAUUUGAGCUCAUGUGUGAUGCAUCUGAUUAUGCAGUAGGAGCAGUAUUAGGACAAAGAGUUGAUCGAAUUCCCCACGUUAUUUACUAUGCUAGUAUGACAUUGAAUGAUGCACAGUUGAAUUAUUCAACUACUGAAAGAGAAAUGCUAGCAGUAGUGUUUGCAUUAGAGAAAUUUCGAUCUUAUCUCAUUGGUUGUAAAAUAAUUAUAUUCACAGAUCAUGCUGCUCUUAAAUAUCUUCUCACAAAGAAAGAUGCAAAAGCUAGACUAAUUCGUUGGGUGUUACUUUUGCAAGAAUUUGACUUGGAAUUUAAAGAUAAGAAAGGCACAGAAAAUGUUGUGGCGGACCAUCUCUCUCGUCUCCAUUUUGACACAAUUACAGAGCCAUUACCAUUAAAUGAGUCAUUCCUAGAUGAACAAUUGAUGAAUGUGGAAGUAUUACCUUGGUAUGCUAAUAUAGUUAAUUAUCUUGUUACAGGUAAACUUCCAGAGCAUUGGACCAAGCAAGACAAGGCUAAAUUCUUUGCAGAAAUAAAGAAUUUCUUUUGGGAUGACCCAUAUUUGUUCAAGUAUUGUGCAGACCAAAUUGUUAGACGAUGUAUCCCAGAAAGUGAAAUUCAGAAUAUCCUUUCAUUCUGCCAUGAACAAGCUUGUGGAGGCCAUUUAAGUGCUAAGAAAACGACGACUAAAGUUUUACAAUGUGGUUUUUUAUUGGCCAACUAUAUUUCGAGAUGCUUACACUUUCUGUUCUUCAUGUGAUAGGUGUCAACGAAUGGGGAGCAUUACAUGAAGGAACAUGAUGCCACUAAAUCCAAUUUUAGUGGUUGAGAUUUUUGAUGUAUGGGGUAUCGACUUCAUGGGACCCUUUCCCCCCUUCUUUUGGCCAUCAAUACAUAUUGGUUGGUGUUGACUACGUAUCGAAAUGGGUGGAAGCAAUUCCAUGCGGAACCAAUGAUCACAAAGUGGUGAUAGGAUUUUUGAAAAGCAACAUUGUUUCACGCUUUGGAUUCCCUCGAGCGAUAAUCAGUGAUGGUGGUGCCCACUUUUGUAACAAAGCAUUCAAAGCUCUUUUGACAAAGUAUUCAAUCACACACAAAGUGGCAACCCCGUAUCAUCUGCAAACCAGUGGCCAAGUUGAGAUCUCCAAUCGAGAAAUAAUGCACAUAUUAUAAAAGACGGUGAGGCCAGACAGAAAAGAUUGGUCAUUAAGACUUGAUGAUGCAUUAUGGGCAUAUAGAACGGCUUUCAAGACCCUGAUUGGGAUGUCACCCUACAGGCUAGUGUAUGGAAAAGCUUGUCACCUACCUGUGGAACUCGAGCAUCGUGCAUAUUGGGCCAUCAAGAAAUUCAACUUUGACAUGCAACAAGCCAGCUCAGAAAGAAGAUUACAACUGGCAGAACUUGAAGAAAUUCGCAAUGACGCAUACGAAAAUGCCAAGAUUUACAAGCAACGAAUGAAAGUCUUUCGUGACAAGCACAUUAUGAGAAAAUCGUUCACUCCAGGUCAGAAAGUGCUUUUAUUCAAUUCUCGCUUGUAACUAUUUCCAGGUAAGUUACGCUCUCGAUGGUCUGGUCCCUUUAUUGUUCAUACUGUUUUUCCACAUGGGGCAAUUGAAAUUAAGGACCCAAAAAACGGUGUCACGAUUAAAGUUAAUGGUCAAAGAUUAAAGCCAUAUCUAGAAUACCAACCACAUGGAGAAGACACCGAAAUAAAUUUGAGUGACCUACCAGAUUUGAAUUGAUUUUUAUUCUUCUUUUCGUUGAUUUGAUUUUUCUUUCUUUCUUUUUAUUAUGCUUUUGCUAAUUGAAAUUAUUUUUGCAUAAGUGUGUUUGUUUAACUAUUAAGUUUUCUCUUAUCAUUUUUCAUCAUGAGUACCAUACUUAGACCGUUCCUCCUGAACAUUCUUAAACCACUUCAACGUGUCAAAACUCAUCUCAAAAGGCAGAUUCAAUUUUGUAAAACACAAUGCAUUUGGGCUCUACAACUACCAGAGUUAGUAGCCUAUGUUGAGAAUCUAGAAAGCCAACUCCGAGAUAUUGAGAGAAGUGUUUACGACAUCCAGUUGGAGCUUGAGGUAAAUUCAAUAAGAGGACGAUUUUAAUUUUCUUUGUGUGUUUUAAUUUGUUUUUCUGUUUGUGUGCUUUAGUUUGUUACCCCGGUGAAGUGGCGGAUAACGGUACUCCGUGACAAUCAAGUCGGUUACUUCAGUUUCCCAUAAUAACUGACAUUCUGAGGCGAAAGUAUGGACAGAAACGAGAUUCUAGCGAAGCUUCACAAGCGAUUCCCUUCACUUCCUCAUAAUGCCCUCCUUACGAUCUAUAAAGCUCGGUCCGAACGCAUGCGAUUACUCAUGAGGAAUAACAUACCUGCUGAUAUCCGUUGGUUAAUCGAGGCAAAAGUACGAUUGGCAGGUGAGUUACCUCCUAAAUUUAUUGUAUACAUGCCUGGUUGUGGUAAAGGAAAUUAUGCAAGAAAACGACGAGCUCGAAGAAUUUUUGUUGCUUGUCAUAAGUGUGCCAGAAUGAGUUGCGAUAGAAACCCAUGUUCUUUAGGAAUGGUGUCUGAUAACAGGGAAGAUAAGAUUCAAUUCAUUAGGGAUAGCUUGAAUAAGGAGUCAUUGGAUGAUAUCCUUUUGUCUCUUGAAACGCAUCCCAGUGGAUAUGUGCAAGGAGCGAUUCUUCAGUUAUGGUCAUUAUUCCAGAAAGAGCAUGCACGAUAUAGUCUCGGGAAUCUGACUAUAAACGACCCAGUUUGCCAGUUUAUAAGAAAACUGGAUGGGAAGCCUAUCCUCGACCCAUAGAGGGCGUUCAAGCCGUUUCUGGACGUAAAACCAGAGGAAGAUGUGAGCCACAGUCGCAACUACGUGUAAAUAUCAUUUUACUUUACUGUUGUUUUAUUUCACUGUUGUUUUAUCGUUUGCAUUAUUGUCUUUAAUAAUUUUAUUACUGUUUGCUUUGUCCUUUUUACUGUUUCCUUUUUGACUCGCGAGCCACGUGCUUUACGCGUUAUUUGACACUGACAUGUUACCUCAUUCACAGCUGUGAUCUACUGUCACCAAGAUUCUUAAAUGUGAUUUAUCUUUUGUCAAGCACUCACAAAUUAUUUUUGAGAAGUAUCACAAUGGCAGCUACUCCCAAUAGACAAUUCAAGAACAUUUGUGUGCUUUCUAGAUUUACCUAUGGCAAACAUAAAGAGUUCGUGGAGGCAGCCAUAGAUCUUGGUCGAAGCAUAGCAGCGAGAAAAUUACACUUGGUGUAUGGAGGAGGUAACCGAGGGUUAUCAAAAAUGGUCUCAGAAACAGCUUUUAUUAGAGGCAGCCAAGUGUUAGGCAUCAUCCUAAGAGUCCUAAAACCAUUGGGCAGUUCGUCUGACUCAUCAACUGGAGAAGAGUUAGUCGUCUCAGGUAUGCAAGAAAGAAUAAUUGAAAUGCUUAAUCAUGCUGAUGCUUUUAUUUUCCUUCCAGGAGAUCUUGCAACACUAGAGGCACUUAUUACACUAGCAUCUUGGGCCCAUCUGCACAUCCACCAGAAACCCAUUGGUUUGUUAAAUGUCAAUAACUUUUAUGAUGGCUUUAUCGCAUUUCUUAACCAUGCAAUAAAAAACUAUUUCAUUCCUUCUAAUGUGAAAAAACUCUUUAUUUGUGCUCACACUGCUAAUGAGCUACUUGAUAUGUUACAAGCUUAUAAACCGGAGCCAGACCCCUGGACCUUUGUGUUGGAGCGACCAAAUAGUAACAGUAGCCGCAGUAAGAAGUAAAAAUUAGAUUUAACUCUCCGCCUGUAAAUAUUUUCUUCUGUGUUGCACCACCUAGGUGAUGUCUUCUAAACUCUACUUCUUUCCUUUAAAACAUUGAGGACAAUGUUUCGUUCUGGUUGGGGGGAGGGAAUAGUCGACAAUUGUGGAAUCUUGGUUAAGUUUUUACUGAUUUUUUGUUGUAGAAACUAACUGUUGCUAACGUUUUGUGUUGAAGAUGACUGAAUAUGGAGUGUAGUGCCUCUAGAAACGCAUCUUCUUAGUUUAAAAAAAAAAUUCUUUUUCUAAUUAAUUUUUCUACAUAAUUUUCACAUUUCUGCAUGCAUAUUUUCCUUUCAUGUUUAGAAUAGGUUGGGGGGUAGAAUGUUGUUUAAAAAAAAAAUUGUGUUAUUUGUUUUAACAUUGGAUGACAUGAUUAAUUUCAAAUUUUAGUAUUUGUAUUAUCUUUGGUCUUAAGUGAUGUUACGCUAUGUUUGCUACUUUACAUGUUGAUGUCGGAGACAAAUAUGAGUUGCUUGAAGAAAUGAACAUGUCAUAAUAAGUACCAAGUGAGUUUUUGAGCCUAUUAUUUUUCUUGGAGAGUAACCCUUUUGCCCAUUCUUUAUACAACUUAGCAGUUUAUUAUUGUAUACACGAUCUCUAGAUUUCUUUUGAGUUAAUCCUUAAAAAAAAAAUUGUAAAAAAAAAAUAGUAAUAAUAAAAAUUUGUUAAAAAAAAAGAAAAAGAAAAAGAAGAAAAAGAAAAAGAAGAAAAAGAAAAAAAAAGUGUGUUGCUACAUUGGGAGGCCCAUCUAACUAGUAGAUAUGGAUAAUUGUUUAGAGCCCUAAAAGACGAUGGAAAUGCCAUCUUUGAUCCGUUUGAGCCUUUCUAGUCAUCCUUUUUAUUAAAUAUCCAUAGUUACCCCUUUUGAGCCUUUAAAAAAAAAAAACAUUUUCUUUGUCAACUUAUCAUCUUGACCCACUCCGAUUUGGAGUAUUACCCGAUGUCUUAUAAAUUCCAUCACCUAUUUAUGUUUGAGAAAAUGUAAAUAAUUAUGUUGUUCAGUGAAGUUAUGCCAAAUAAAAGCCAAAAACAAAAAAAAAACAAAAGUUGUUGUUUCAAAAGAGUAAAAAUAACAACAAUAGGUGAAAUACACCUUGCAACUUCAAAAAAAAAAAAAAAUUUCUCUACAUUUUUCUCAAACAUACACUUUGUUUCCUUAUUUCCUUUCUUUGUUAGCCAUAUCCCUAGCCUACGUUACGUCCUAAUAAAAGUCCUUCUUGAUUUUAGGGAACUAUAGUUUGAAGUAGAAGCUAGUUAUGUGGGCUAAAAAGAUGUAGUGAUGCAUAAUAAUAAUAAAAAUAAAAAAGAUAAAUAAAGUGGGUUGACUAGCAUUUUUGUUUGACUUGAGAUCGUAUUAUUUCUAAGCUGAGGGCAUAUUUAUUUCAUCUUGGGGAGAGCAUGUGAUAUCACUUCUUUAUUAUUUUCUCUCUCAAUUACCAUUCAUUGGAGUGACUAUUUUUAUUGGGUUUAAUUUAUUUGUGAGAGUGUUAUUACUUCCAGUGAGAUUUUGGGGUUUGACAUGUCAUUCUUGAAAGUAGCUAUAACAAAGUCUACUGGGCUAAUUCAUGUGGAUGGUUGAUGUGGGUGUGAUGUUGCUUUAGACUGGAGAUAAUGCUUAUACUUUUAUUUGAUUGCUAUCAUUAAUCUGAUUAAAUAAACACGAGUGUUUCAACAAAAAAAAAAUCAUUUUGAAUUUGAAUUUUGUUUUCGCUUUAUUUGCUAGGGACUAGCAAUAAGCUGGUUAGGGGGUGUGUUGAGUAUUAGAAAAUGCAUAUUUAUAAAGGAGAAAACCAUCAUUUUACAUUUCAAGUCUUACUAACAACUCUUACUUUUAUGUAUUUAACCUUCUUGUGAUGUAAUUACGUGUGUGUUAUUUUAAUUAAGUAUUUUAUGUAUUUUAGGGGCAUUAUAAUCAUUUCACAAUAAAGGAGAGAUCAGCCGGCAAAACGGACAUCACUUUUGAACUCAGGACGGUCGAAAACCUUAGGAGGAGCAUAAAAGGAAAAAUGGCACUAUUCACAUGUACGGUACUAUUCACGUAUACGGUACUGUAUAUGUUACUGUUCAUGACACUGUUCACAUAGACGGAUCGAUGACAUGGCAUUGACCGAUGAUGUGGCAUUGACUGAUGAGGUGUCACGAUCCUGUUGGACUAAAAUUCUUAUGUACUGUUGAUGGUGACGUGGCAGCAUAUCAGUGGACGAAAAAUCUCGCGUACGGUGCAUGCAUCACACAGGAUUAUUUUCAACCAAACUAUGUUACUGUUCAUCCAGGUCAAACCGUGUGUACUGUUCAUCCGUGUGGUCAAACCGUGGACUGUUGACUGAUGACGUGGCGCAAUCCUGAGCGUCCAAACUAUUUUUAAUCCGAUGGCCAUGAUUUACUCCAUGUAUCUAUAAAAGGGGGCCUCCCCCCUAAUUUGAUAGCUCUGAAUCCAUUUUUGGGAUCCAUUUUCUAUAAUUCCUUCUCCAUCUUGUAUUUUCGUCGUAUUUUAAUAAAUUCCCAUUUUGCCCCUAGUUCAAUUAUGUGUGGCUAAUUUUCUUUCAAGCUUGGGUUGAAGGUGAAGUCUCAACAUGUGUCAUGGGCUUUAUUUGGUAAAUUUAUUUUCUCUUCCCCUCUAGUUUUUGUGGAUGUUUUGACUUCUCGUCGACAAAUAAUACUAAUCUUGUCUAAUACCGCCUUGGUUUCACCGGCCCUCUAGUACAAGGUUAUUAUUAUUUGGCACGAUAAGCCCUUAGCACCAUAUUGAUUAGAGCGUGGUUCAUGAGGUGUGGAUUCCCCCCUCAUGAUUUAAUUGGCAUUAAUACGGAUUAUUUAGCCCAUGAUGCAUGUUGAUACUGAUCCAGAUAUCCAAGUACGUCAUUUCAAUAGAUUUCGCUUCAAUUUAUUCUCGCCAUUGCAAUUCCAAUUUUAGAAUUUAUUAUCGCCAUCUCAAUUCCAAUUUUAGGAUAAUUUAAAUCACUUCCACCACAAUUUCAACCACCCAUUUACAAAAUUAAUUCUACAUAUAAUUAAAAUCCACCUCCUCGUGGGAUCGACACUCAUCACCAUUGAUCUAUACUACAAUAGAUUCGUGCGCUUGCGAGUACAUUAAAAUUUGCACAACACUUACAACUGAGAAUACAACCUUCAUUGAGCCUUAAACUUAUUCUUGUUUCAUUUAUUCACACUUUGAGAUUUCAUUUGUAAUCUUAUAUAUUGUGUGAGUGAAAAUUUAUUUGUAAUAUUCUUUACUUUGAGUCAUUGUAAGUGUUGGGAUAGACUUGAAUUAAGAGAUUGGGGAUAAUCUCUUAGUGUGAAGGUUUAUUGACACAUUUAAAGUCAAUUGUAAGUGUUCUUGAAGCCUUGGAGGCUUGAUUAGUGGAAUCCUCAAGCCCGACGAGCUUGGAUGCGUGGACGUGGGCAGGGUUGGCCGAACCACGUAAAAAUCUCUGUGUUUGAUUUUCUCUUCCCUUAUCUUUUUUAAUUUUGUGCUUUGAUUGAUUUUAUUAUUAUUGUGUGGUUUUGUUUGUUUAAAGUUUUAGAAACCCAAUUCACCCCCCCUCUUGGGUUGCCUAACUAGUAUUUCAAACAAAACAAAAACUUGCAAACAUAACAUAAAACUAGUAAAUCAACACUAACUAUAUAUAUAUAUAUAUAUAUAUUGGAAAUGAAACAUAAGACUUGUAAAAAGAAUGUAAAAUAUAUAAAUUACUAUAAAAUAGUAAAUUGAUGUAUUAUUGGUAAAUAAAAUGAAAACUUAUAAAUAUAACGUAAAACAAGUAAAUCAACAUUAAAUGUAAAAUAAAACAUAUAGUUUGUACAUUAUGCCUAAAACUUAUGAAUAAAAGGCAAAAUAAGUAAAUUAAUAUAAGAGUUACUGCAAAAAAAAUAAAAUCACAAUUGUAAAAUAAAACUCGUUAUAAUGUUUAUUAUCUUAUAUAUUUAUUGAUUUUUUAAUUUAAAUUGAAUAAUGAUAGUUUUGCAAUUAUGUAAUACAUGUGUUGUUUUAUUAAGUAUGAAAUUUAUUAGGGGUGUUUGCGGAUCAAAUUUUACGGAUUUGACAUCAAUCCAUAUCUUAUCCAUGAUUUUAUAGAUUAUAAAUUUUCAAUCCAAUCCAAUUCACGAAUUGGUGAAAUUUAAUUCAAAUUCAAUCAAUAGGUCUGCAGAUUAGGUAUGGAUUUGACCCAAUCUAUAUUUAAUCCCCUAUUUUGCGGAUUGGUUUGCAGAUUGAAAAUUUUUAAUUCUGUCCAAUCCACGAACUAACUAAAUAAAAAAUCAAUAUAAAAAUAAUUUUACUACUGAUCAAAUUUAAAAUUAAAUAAGAUUAAAAUAUAUUUAUCGUUUAAAUAAAGCUAGAAAAAAAUUUAAACUUUCAAAAUAUAACACACCAAAAAGAAAAUAAAAAUCAUUUGUUUAGAUCAGUACAUGAAAAAUAACUGUUUAGGAAACUAUAUUUGUUUGUUUAAUUAUUUUUUAUUUUAUAUAUUAUCGGAUAAGAUAUAAUAUAGUGUUAAUGUAAUUAUAUUUCAACUUAUUUAUUUACUAGUAAGUACUAAUGCUAUAUUUAUAAGUUUUAUUUUUUAAUUAAAUAAAUACUUUUAUUUUUUUACUGAUUCACAUAUUUUUGCGGAUUUACAGAAGUAAAUUCAUAUCCAAUCCACCAAUUGCGGAUUAUCAAAUUUUCAAUUCAAUCCAAUUUAAUCCAUCAAUCUACAGAUCGGAUUUUUACCUAUCGGACAAAUUGAGUGGAUCAUAUUGGAUUCUGAACACCCCCAAAAUUUAUGAUCAAAAUCGGAUUUUGAAAAAAAUUAUUAUUUUAAUAUUUUUCAUAGUUGUUGUAAAAUGAGGUUAUUUUGCAUCUUUCUACACUUCCUCUAGAACAAUCCUAAAUGGUCUUCAAAUACAAGUAAAAAGUUUGAAAUAACAUAAAGUAUGUAUAAUACUCCAAAUUAGAUCUAAUUUUAUUGAUAAAUCAUAUGUAUGUCUAAUAAUAUAAGAAUAUUUUUUUAUUUUGUUUUUACUUGAUCCACAGAAGAUAAAUAAUUGCGUUUAAUUAACAUGUGUAAUAAAUGGAUAUCGUUAUAGAAGAUGGGGAAAAAAAGUACAAUAAUGCUACAUAUCCCAAAUAUUAAUCCCAAAACUCAUCCCAAGUGAUGUGGUAGCUGACAUGGCAUCCAACUUAUAAAUUUAUUCUAAAUUAAAAUAGACCCCUCUAAAAUAUUUUAUUUUAAAGUAAAUCCCUUUUACAACUAAAAGUCUUUUGCUCUAUCGUUUUUGGCCUGGCUGCAAACUGAACGAACAGAGACGAAUAGAGAGAGUAAGUUCAGGGAGAGCAAAGUUUUCGGUUUCUUCUCACUCAUGACAAGUUCGUUCUUUUACCAAACUAUUUUACUAGCACUCAACAAUAUCAUGUAUUUAUUGAUUCCUUUUUGUUUAUUUUUUUAUUAUUUAUCAUGUAUUUACAUUAUUUGUUUGUGAUUGAGAUAGCAUAUUUGGGUCAAAAGAAUAAGAGGACUGAUGGCGGUGUAUAGAUCUGGUAAAAGAUGGUUGUAUUCGAUGGUAUCAUCUCAUCGCUUUCCAAUCUGCUUGGUUAGUCUGUUGCCUUUUGUAUUAUUGCUUUUGUUUUCUAAUUGAUUUUGAUUUUCCUUCCUAAAUACAAAUAAUAAGAAUAAAGAUUUCAUUUUUCGGUUGCUAGAUUUUGUAUUGAAUAAUUUUCUUCCUCUUUAUCAAGUUACUAAAAAGUUUUUAAUUUUUGUGUUUUACACAUAUUACACUUAAAACGUCUUUACUUUUAUUGCAUUAUGCUCUUGUUCAUUUAUUUUGUGUUAAAUAAUCAUGUGUAUUGUAUAAUUUCUCCACUUUUUUUUUUAUUUAAUGCUAUAAUUUAAUCUAGGUCAUGUUGAAGAUCACUUUUUUUAUUUUGUUUCACCCUGAUUGCUCCAGUGGUUCAGCUUGCGUGUUUUGGAGAAAACAUUGUCCAGUUAUUGGCAUUAGUUUUUAAUGCCAAAUUGCAGUUCAUAGAGUAGACAGUGAGGAGGUUGCACAAGCUGAAGUGCUCUUUGUGCUAGAAUGGGCAAGAAAGCAGAGUUAUAUGACAGAAAGUUAAUAGAUUUCGUCCAGUGAUUAUUCAUAUUCAAUAGUUAGUAGCAAUUAACAUAGGGAAGAAAAUAAAUUAACAUUGUAAUUUAUUUCAAUGAAACCCAAGAGAAAGGUUUCUUCUGUAAACUCAAUAUGUACUGAAAAUUAAUCUACACUUAAUUAGCUUUGCCAUUCGAAGAGAAAUUUUUCAGCAAUAUUCAUUCGCAUUAUUAUAAAAAAUUGAAGAUGUACUUCAGUCCUAACUAAAAUGUUCACUCUUUUUUUUUUUCUUUUAAAGGAAAAUUCAUUAACUAUAAGAACAUAACAUCACAAAGACAUAACAUCUGGAUUGUAUUGUUACUAUAAAAUUGCAAUAGCUCAACCUAUAAUCAUCCAUGCAAUUAAAAAUCCAUAAUUCAUCAUAAAUUUCAGAGCAAAAACUGAACCGUGAAAGUAAUUUAACAAUAAUCUAACAUUAUUGUUUGAUAACAUAAUGUUUUCAAAUAAUUCUUGUACUCCAUCUUUUUAUGUUUGGCUUCUUGCUAGAUACUUCAAUCUCUUUACAACUCUCGAGUGACCUGCAUACGUUACAAAGGAUUAGUUAAAAAGAAAAAGCUAAAGAUUUGUAACUAUGAGAAAAGAUAUUAUUUAUUUAUCUAUGUAGUACCCUAAAUAUAAAAAAAAUGACAUCAACCUAAUGACAAUAAGAAUAACAUACUCCUUAUAAUUAUAUACCAAGCAAAAAGAAUAAAAACACAUUACCUGCAUUGGAUUAUCAGAAGUAACCAUUGCAUGAGUGGUGUUGUUCUCCAAUCCAUAUCUUUGUGUUUCACUACUUAUCAUUUGAGAUCCCUUGAAUAAAAUAAUAUGUAGGAAUUAUAAGUAAUGUAUAAUAAAAUAUUUGAUAAGCAUUUUGGAUAAAAUUUAUUAAUUUCAUACCUUGGUCGUUUUCUUUUGCUUUUUUCUCUGAAUAAUUUGCUUGACCUUAGACUGCCUUCGUUUGUAAGGUGGACGACCUUUACUUCUAACUGCUAGUGGAGAAAGAAUUUUACCAUUAUGACUGCCACGAACCUCCCCAUAUUUUGUUGUGCCAUGAGCUGUAUUACUUCCACGUUGACUAAUUUCACCCCCACCUCCAUUUAGCAUUAGUUUUGCUUUCAAAUAAUCUAAUACCUCCAACACCAUAUUGCAAUUAUUCUCAUUAUUAGUCGCUAGUUCAGCUACAUCAUAAAAAAAGUUGCACAUCUUAUCAAAUCUAAGUCCUUCAGGUUUUAUGCUCCAAUUGUCAUUACUUACUUUCACCUCAGUGUGACAUCUUUUUAUAUCCUUUCUCCAUCGCCUCAAAAUAUACUGUUCUGGAAUAGAAAAUAUUUCUUUAUGAAUUAGCACUGCAAUGAUGUGUCGACAUAAUAUUCCCUUAAACUCAAAUAGUCGACACUUACAAUUAAUCUCACAAUUAACCUCAUUAAAAGAAACUUCAAAAGGGUCACGACGAUGAUUCUCUCCAAUUUUAACAUCUUCAACUACUACAAACUUUGAAGUUAAAAUAUUUGUUUGACAUGAAAAUAUCUCACAAAAGAUUUUUCCUUUUGACUCUUGCUGAAAUUCUCUGAAUUUUUCCAUUGUAUAAGUAUCUCGGAAUUGCUGCUCCAUGGCAUCAUGAGUAACACAAGGGAUAUUAGAAUUCAAAUCAUUAAAAUCAGCAUGAUUUUCUUUUUCCACCUUGUCCCGUAGUGCAUUUCCAUAUUGUUCAACAAAUUAUUUUAGAGGAGUUUUUGAAUUUACAUACCCAUCAAAGAAUGCAUGCAUACUCUCACUGUGUUGUGUUGUAGACAUUCCUGCCCAAAAUAUAUCCUUCACAUAUGUUGGAACCCAAUAUUGCCUCUCAUCAUACAAGUUUUGCAACCAUUCAUUGUUAUUAAGAUUAUAUUUUUCAAUGAACACCAUCCAACGUUCAUCAAAAUCAGAAGGUAUUAAAGAAUCAUAAACAAUAUUCUGCAUAGUCAACUUGAUCACUUCAUAUUUCUUGUAACCUUUCAAUUUUUCUGGAAGUUUUUUCAUUAUAUGCCACAAACACCACCUAUGUCGCGCAUGCGGAAAGACAACUUCAAUCGCCUUUUGCAUGGCCUUAUCUUGAUAAGUGAUUAUGGCAUUUGGAGCACAACCAGACAUACAUUUAAGCCAAGAUCGAAAAAGCCAUACAUAUGUGUCAAUGUCCUCGUUAGAAAUCAAACCACAUCCUAAUAAUGUUGAUUGUCCAUGAUGAUUGACCCCAACAAAAGCAGCAAAUGGUAUAUCAUAUUUAUUUGUUAGAUAGGUUGAGUCAAAUGUAAUAACAUCACCAAAUUCUUUAUUCACUGCUCUACUUCUUGCAUCAGCCCAAAAUAAAAAUUUCAACCGAGCAUCUUCGUCUAAAUCCACCAUAUAAAAAAAAUUGGAGUUUCCAUUUUGCAUUUUUAAGAAAUAAUCAAGAACUGCAGAAGCAUCACCAUCCCCAAGCCGUAAGCGCCUUACUUUGUGUAAAUGAUUCCUACAAUCUUUUUCUAGGAAAGUUAAAUUCUCAUGUCCUCCUGCUUCAACCACCAAAGAAUUAAAGCUUUUAUUCGGUCUUAUUCCUGCUUGAUCAUUCAAAUCCAACUUUCUUUGAACAAACAACUUCAUUACCCUGUUGGUUUUCAGAAAACGAGCCUUACUUGGUGUGUUUAACUCAUGAUUAUGCUCAUAUGUAAUGGAUUUGACCUCCCACUUUCUGUCCAAGCAUGUUGUUGCCCUUACUUUAGCCUUACAAUUUGUUUUGGAUGUUGGUUGUAAUUUAAAAGGAUGGUUCGAUAAAGAUUUUUCCUUGCUGCUGCGUGAACAUGAAAAUGUCACAUAUUUUAACUCUCCAUCGUCUCCUUUGCUAGAGGUUCUUUUAAUAAUUUCGAAUCCCAUUAUCUUCGCAUACAUCUUGUAGAACUCAAACAAAUCUUGAGUUGUAUCAAAAACCAGGCCAAUUUUUGGCUCAAUAAUUUCUUCUGCAUUUGGUUCAUUACUUAUAUCGUUCUCGUCAUCAACCUGAUUUAAAUAAAGUAAAAAUAUCCAACUAAUUAAAAUCAUCAUCAAUUAAUACAAAUUAGAAACAUAUUAAUACAAGGUAUAAAAAAAUAAGAAUAAAAAUUAAAAAUUUCACCUCAUCAGUAAUGAUUUCUAGGGAGUUUUCUAUUUCUUUUGACUCCAAAUCCGUCAUCUCAACUGAAGGUUUUGUUCUUCCUAAAGUUCUUGUCUCUGUUCAUUCAGUUUGCAGCCAAGCAAUUCAAAUUCCAUCAAUUCAUUUUUUCUUUUCAAGAAGUGCAGAUUGUUGAGUGCUAAUAAAAUAGUUUGGUAGGAAUUACAAACCUGUCAUGAGUGAGAAGACUUUGUUCUCCCUGAACUUUCUCUCUAAUUUGCAGCCAAGCCAAAAUACGAUAGGACAAACCUGUUCAAUUUGCAGCCAGACCAAAUUUGCAGCCAGGUCGAAAACGAUAGGGCAAAAGACUUUUAGUUGUAAAAGGGAUUUACUUUAAAAUAAAGUAUUUUAGAGGGGUCUAUUUUAAUUUAGAAUAAAUUUAUAAGUUUGAUGCCAUAUCAGCUGCCACAUCACUUGGGAUGAGUUUUGAGAUUAAUAUUUGAGAUAUGUAGCAUUAUUGAAAAAAGUAUACAAAUUUCCUAUAAUAAAUCUAGAAUUUAUGGUAACUAAUUCAAUAAAACUUAUUCCACUCCUACCCCCAACACUCCCCCACCUCCCUCAAAUUCGAAUAGCUCAUCUUGACCCUCGCCCACCACAAACGCUACCAGUCCAUGUGGAAGACCAUCGAACUCAUGAAACCCUACAACCUCUCCGUCUCUCCUCAAACUCUAAUACUGUUGAGGUUUUUAAUAAGUGUACCGCUUUCAAUUGUCAGCAAUGUGUUCUUUUGUAUAAUUCAUUGCUGUUUGCUUUGUGUGAAGUUGUCAAGGAAGCUCAUGUUUGCAUGAUUACCAGCAAAGCAGAGGAUCACAGCAGCACCCACAUGCAGUUACGAAUAGAUGACAUGGCAUGCCAGCUAGAGCCUGGUGGUUAUGUAAUUAGUUGUGCAUAUGUUAAUUAGCUAAAGCUGUUAUAGUUAGUUAAGAGAAUAAGUGAAUUAGUUACAGCUAAUUACAUCGAUUAGUGCUGAGCUUCAGCUUAGUAUAAAUAGCAACAUCUUUGUACAUAUGAAUAAGUUUUUUUUUUAUGAAUGAAAUUUAGUUUCCAGAAAUAUCCAGAUCUAGUUCUUAACUUUCUCAGCUGCCAAACAUUAUUCUCGUUCUUCUUCUUGGUAUCAGAGCUAGUAACAAUGGCUUCAGUCCAUCUAGCUUCUUCUUCUUCUCAAGCGCCAAUUAAUCAAACAACUGUCAAUUCAACAAAUGUGACAUUCACUUUCAAUACACCUAUUAAGCUAGAUCAAUCCGAUUAUCUGAUUUGGAGAUCUCAAGUUCUUGCCUCAAUUCGUGGCAACAGACUUGAGAAAUUCAUCAAUGAGUCAACCACUCCACCUCCUUCACACAUUGCUCAACGAAUUGAAGAUGAACUGAGAUCUGUAGAAAAUCCAGAAUUCACAACCUGGAGGUCACAAGAUCAUGUGCUUCUUGGCUGGUUACUUUCUUCAAUGAGUGAAGGUAUCAUCAGUCUAGUCUUCAAUCUAGAGACUUCUCGAGAGGUAUGAAAAGCUAUAGAAGUUCAAUUUGGAUCUCAAUCUAAAUCUAGGCUUCUGCACUUGCGAUAUAUGAUGAACUCAACUAGAAAGGAUGAUCUGAAAAUUACUGAUUAUUUCAUUAAGAUGAAAAGUAUUGCUGAUAAUAUGGCUGCUGCUGGUAGUGCAUUAAGUGAUGAUGAUCUGAUCUUGCAUGUACUCUCUGGUUUAGGUCCAGACUAUAACUCUGUUGCUACCUAUAUUACUGGACAAGUAGGAGUAGGAAAAAUGAAUGUAAAUGAAGCUUAUGCUAUGCUCCUAACUCAAGAAGCUAGGAUUGAACAACAAACUCAUAUGCUAGCUAAUACUGAUGUGAAACAAAACUUUGAGGCUAAUCUUACUUACAACAGAGGUUACAAAAAGGGAAAUAUGUCUGGAGGAAGUGGUUUUGGUGGAGGUUUUGGAUAUAAUCAUGGUUAUGGUAACAAUGGAAACAAUAACAGUAAUGGUUACAAGGGAGGUUAUAAUGGAGGCUCUGGAUUUAAUGCUAAUAGUGGAAGUGCCUAUGGCACUAAUUAUCAAUUCAAGGCUUAUCAAGGAGAUAAUAAAAAAGGUGGAGGAGGAGGCAACUGGAAUCCAAAUACUGGAAAUAGUGGAUUUAACAAUAGCAGAUCAUCUGGAAACACUAAGCCUCAAUGGAAUGUCUCUAAGCCAACCUGUCAGAUUUGUCUCAGAACAGGCCACACUGCCAAUAUUUGCUGGAAGCUUGAAGAAUUUAUUGCAUCUGGAUCUUACAGACCACCACCAAACAGAAAUCCAAAGUCUGCAUAUUUGGCAAAUAUGGAGGGACCUGCUGAUGCUAACUGGUAUUUGGAUAGUGGUGCAACACACCAUCUGACAAAUGAUAUCAAUAACAUGCAUGUUUCUGAAGCUUUUACAGGUAUAUCUAAACUUGUUGUUGGCAAUGGUGCUGGAUUGAGUAUAACACAUGUUGGUAGUGCUGCAUUGAAAUCACAUAACUCCCAUAAUACCUCCUUAACUCUUAAGCUAAAUGAUAUCCUUUUAGUGCCACAAAUUACAAAAAACCUUAUUAGCAUCUCUAAACUUACUAAUGAUAAUGAUGUUGUGAUUGAGUUUACUAAUAAUCUCUGUUUUGUGAAGGACAAGAUGAGGAGUUUGAUCAUACUGCAGGGCAAAGCUGAAAAAGGUUUAUACAAAUUGCUAUUAGUUUCAUCUAAUAAGCCAGUUCCCUCUGUUCAUCAAGUCUCUUCUGAAUCUAGUCAAAGCUUUGUUGCUGAGUCAAUAAUACCAACCAAUCCUCUUUCAAUGUUUUCAGUUGUCAAUUCUACUCUUUCAAAUAAUGCUUCUGAUCUGCAUACUGCAGCAACUCCUUGUAAAAACUCUGAGUGUUUGUUAAGUACCUCUGUAUUGCAUCAAAGAUUGGGACAUCCAUCUUCUAAGAUUUUGAGCCAUGUAAUCAAAGCAUGUUCAUCUUUCAAACUGGAUAAUAAGACUAAAACCUUUGAUUUUUGUGAUGCUUGUCAAAUAGGAAAAGUGCACAAACUUCAUUUUCCAGCUACUGUUAUCAAAACAAAGUCUCCCCUGGAUAUAUUGCAUACUGAUUUAUGGGGACCAGCCCCUGUGGUUUCAUCACAAGGCUACAGAUAUUAUGUGAGCUUUGUUGAUGAUUUCAUAAGAUUUACUUGGAUUUUUCCUUUGAAAACCAAAAGCGAAACACUGUCAGUCUUCAAAGUUUUCAAAAACCAAAUAGAGAAACAACUUGACAGACCUAUCAAAUGUCUUCAAUCAGACUGGGGGGGAGAAUUUCGAUCAUUUGUUAAUUUUCUUCAAACAGAGGGCAUCCAAUUCAGACAUUCAUGUCCAUACACUCACAACCAAAAUGGCAUUGUAGAGAGAAAACAUAGGCAUAUCACUGAACUUGGUCUCACUCUUCUUACACAAGCCAACCUACCUAUUAAAUUCUGGUGGGAUUCCUUUCAUACAGCCACAUACCUUAUCAACGGAUUACCUACUCCAGUUCUAUCAAUGAAAUCUCCUUAUGAGACUAUCUUUCAUCUCACUCCAGAUUACAAAUUCUUAAGAACAUUUGGAUGUUCAUGCUUUCCCUUUCUCAGAGACUAUAUCAACACAAGUUUCACUCUCAUACAUCCAAAUGUGUUUUCUUGGGGUAUAGUUCUGUGCAUAAGGGUUAUAAGUGUCUCCAUCCCUCUGGAAAAAUCUACAUAGCAAGUCAUGUUAUUUUUUAUGAGACUUCAUUUCCAUAUUCCUCCAUUUUCAUUUCAUCUUCUCCAUCCAAGUCUUCUAGAUCUCAAUCCAAUCUUCUUCAGCAGUAUACUAUACCUAUUUCUAAUAGCAAUUUGAACACCUUUGAAGCUACUACUGUAGGUAAUGAUCAAUAUUCUGAUCACCUUGAUAUUAUAUCUUCACCACUUUCUCACAACACAUCAUCUCAACCCUCACCACCUGCUACUUUAUUCCAGCAAACCAUACCCUCUUCACCAACUCAACCUGACAUGUCACACUCUCUGAUUCACCCAGCACAAUCAUCUCAACCUAAUCCAAUUCCUUCUACACACAAAAUGAUAACCAGAGCAAAAGCUGGAAUAUUCAAACCAAAGGCCUACUUAACAGAUCACAAUAGCCUGGAACCAUCCACUGUUUCAGAAGCAUUAUCUGAUCCCAAAUGGAAAGCAGCAAUGCAGUCUGAGUAUGAUGCUUUGAUUAAAAAAAAAACUUGGACUCUGGUGCCUAUGUGCUCAUCUUAUAAACCAGUUGGGUGCAAAUGGGUGUUCAGAACCAAGUAUAACACAGAUGGCUCAGUUUCCAAAUAUAAAGCCAAGUUGGCAGCCAAGGGAUUCCAUCAAACUGCAGGUAUAGAUUAUUCAGAAACAUUUAGCCCUGUAGUGAAGUCUGCAACAGUAAGAUUAAUCUUUAGUCUAGCUGUCAUGAAAACUUGGAAUAUCAGACAAAUUGAUGUGAAUAAUGCCUUCUUAAAUGGGGAUUUGUCAGAGGAUGUGUAUAUGAUUCAGCCUGAGGGUUUUAUGUCCAAAGAAGGCUACAUAUGCAAGCUUACCAAGGCUCUAUAUGGUUUGAAACAAGCUCCAAGAGCUUGGUAUGAUAAACUGAAAAGCUGUCUUACUACCUGGAAUUUUUGCAAUUCUAAAGCUGAUACAUCUCUUUUUGUUAAGCAUGAUGAUAAAGGCAUUAUUAUUAUAUUGAUCUAUGUUGAUGAUAUUCUGGUGACUGGUCCUGACUCAGCAUUACUUGAAGAGUUUAUUAGUAAUCUCAGUAAGGUUUUUUCCCUCAAGGAUCUGGGAUUGGUGGCCUAUUUUCUUGGAGUAGAAGUGUGUUAUACAGCUCAAGGAAUGCAUCUGUCACAGACUAAGUAUAUCAAGGAUCUGAUAAGCAAAGCUUCAAUGCAAAACUGCAAAGGGUCAGAUACACCUUUCAGCACUGGCUUCAAACUAGAGAAAAAUAUUCAAGGUCCUCUAGGGCAGGAAUUCGAAGAGCCAGCUCUUUAUAGGAGCAUUGUUGGAGGGCUUCAAUAUUUGAUCCUUACCAGGCCUGAUAUUGCAUAUUCUGUACACAAACUCAGCCAAUAUCUUAGUAAUCCUACACUCCAGCACUGGCUAGCAUGCAAGAAGGUUCUCAGGUAUCUUCAAGCUACAGCCACUCAUGGUUUAUAUAUUCAAAAAGAGGGAACUCUUGGACUUGCAGGUCUAACUGGAUACUCUGAUGCUGACUGGGCAUGUGAUGUUGAUGAUCGAAAAUCUAUUGGAGCCUACUGUAUUUACUUGGGUAAUAAUCUGAUUUCCUGGUCAUAAAAAAAACAAGCUAUUGUAGCUAAGUCAAGCACUGAAAGUGAAUACAGAGCACUCUCUUCAGCAAGUUCAGAACUUUCAUGGCUGCAAUCUCUGCUGUCAGAACUUAACAUUGUCCAAUUACCAACUCCAAUCCUUUGGUGUGACAAUCAGAGUGCAUGAGAGUUAGCUAGAAAUCCUAUUCUUCACUCUAAAUCAAAACACAUUGAGUUGGAUGUCCAUUACAUUAGAGAUAAAGUGCUUGGAAAAGAAUUAGAAGUGAGGUACAUUCCUACUGAAGAACAAGUUGCUGAUGUCCUUACCAAAGCUCUGUCAUUUCCCAAGUUCAACUAUUUUCGAUCCAAGCUCAAUGUCAUCAACAGACCAUUGAGCUUGAGGGGGGACGUCAAGGAAGCUCAUGUUUGCAAGAUUACCAGCAAAGCAGAGGAUCACAGCAGCACCCACAUGCAGUUACGAAUAGAUGACAUGGCAUGCCAGCUAGAGCCUGGUGGUUAUGUAAUUAGUUGUGCAUAUGUUAAUUAGCUAAAGCUGUUAUAAUUAGUUAAGAGAAUAAGUGAAUUAGUUACAGCUAAUUACAUCGAUUAGUGCUGAGCUUCAGCUUAGUAUAAAUAGCAACAUCUUUGUACAUAUGAAUAAGUUUUUUUUUUAUGAAUGAAAUUUAGUUUUCAGAAAUAUCCAGAUCUAGUUCUUAACUUUCUCAGCUGCCAAACAUUAUUCUCGUUCUUCUUCUGAAGUCAAGUUGUUUUAUGGUGCUUAUGGUUUGAUUAGGAGGAUGAUUAGAAAAGGGUUUGUCCCUGACAAGUGGACGUACGCGAUUCUUGUUAAUGCUUGGUGUUCUUCUGGGAAAAUGAGCGAGGCACAAGAGUUUUUGCAGGAGAUGAGUGAUAAAGGGUUCAACCCGCCUGUUCGAGGUCGUGAUUUGUUGGUUCAAGGGUUGUUGAAUGCCGGUUAUUUAGAGUCUGCUAAACAGAUGGUUAAUAAAAUGAUUAAACAAGGGUCUGAUCCGGAUUUGGAAACCUUUAAUUUGUUGAUUGAGACGAUAUGUAAAUCCGGGGAGGUUGAGUUUUGUGUUGAGAUGUAUUAUAGUGUAUGUAAGUUAGGUUCGUGCGCUGAUGUGAGUACGUAUAAGAUUUUGAUUCCAGCAGUUUCAAAGGCGGGUAUGAUUGAUGAGGCUUUUAGAUUGCUGCAUAAUUUGGUUGAGGAUGGUCACAAGCCAUUCCCAAGCUUGUAUGCUCCUAUUAUUAAAGGGGCGUUUAGGAGGGGCCAGUUUGAUGAUGCAUUUUGUUUCUUUAGUGAGAUCAAGAUUAAGGGGCAUCCUCCAAAUAGGCCGGUUUAUACAACGUUGAUAACAAUGUGUGGGCGCGGGGGAAGAUUUGUUGAGGCGGCAAAUUAUUUGAUGGAAAUGACUGAGAUGGGGUUGACUCCAAUUUCCAGGUGCUUUGAUUUGGUUACUGAUGGGCUGAAGAAAUGUGGGAAGCAUGAUUUGGCUGAGAAGAUAGAGCAGUUAGAGGUAUCUCUUCGGUCUGUUUGAUGCAUGUCAAUUAGCAGUUGAAGACGAUUCUUUAAAAGAAUUGCAUGAAUCGAAAAGAAUGCUUUUAGAUUCUCCGCGUUUCCACUCAAGAAUGAUGUGAGUUCUUCAUUAUGAGAAGUUAGCUACUUGUUGAAUUUCAGGUUCCCAUUUGUUUUUGGCACGUCAGUAUUGUUAAUAAAUUCUUGUUAAUAUGUUUGUCAAGUUGUUCAAUUUAUUUAGUAUUACAGCAUCCCGUAGAUUGUUGCCUUUUUUCCAUGAAAUAUUAGUUCAAUUUAUUUAGUACUUUAGUCUCAAUGAAGCAUGUUGGGGAAUUAAUGUAGAAAUAGGGGUCUUGGUUGUUUUUUCAAUUAUGUGGAUGAAGCUUUGACUUAGGAACCACUACUGUAGUCUAAAGAAUAUCGUUUUCUUCUAUAUCGAUGUGAUUAACUGGGUGAUUUUUGUCAAAGGUGUUUGAAAGUUUUCUGUUGCUGAAAUCUUUCGGUUUAUUUGUUGCAUGAAGCAUGUUGGCGAAUCAAUGUAGAAACAGGAAUCUUGAUUCUUUCUUUAAUUAUGUGGAUGAAGCUUUGAUCUAGGAACUUCUUCUCUAGUCUUAAUAAUAUUAUCUUCUUCUAUAUGGUUAUUAUUAACUGGGUGAUCUUUGUCAAAGGUGUCUGAAAGUUUUCUGUUUCUGAAAUCUUUCGGUUUUAUUUGUUGCAGAUGACAACCUCUAUUUAUUCCUAUGCCCAAACAUGAAACAACUUCGGGUAGUUAGGAAAAAUAUUUUUGUGAGACUAAAAUCCAUAAAUAUAUGGAGCAUCACCUCUGUAUUUGGAGAGCCGUGAGAGAUCAACUAGUCAGAGGUUAAAAGGGUUUGGGAUCCUGUUACAAUGUAUUUAGGUCUUGUUUGGGAAAUUGUGCAGUUUCAACUUGGUUAUUUAGCUUUGCUUCUUCGGUUAUCUGCUACUCUGUGUACGUGGGUUGCUUAUUUAUAAGCAUUUCUCAUUGCUUCAUUUCUAAUAUAGAAUGAACCCAAAAUUAUGUAUGAUAGAACCAAUGUUACAAAGAUAGUUCUGGCCUUUUUUGGAGAGGUGGUGCCAAUUUUAGUUCUUAUUUUAUUUGCUUACAAUGAUUUUUGGACUUCUGUUUUAUGGGAGAAAUCCACAAAGGCAGUCUUUUGAAACAGCAAUUGCAUACUCCUGGCGUGAAUGCAGUGACGUCUCUUCAGUAUUUUCACAUCUUUUUAUGCCAUAACCGAGAAAGAGCUUACUGGACCGAAGACCAUGGUGUCGCUCAAAUAUUGUCUUAGAAUUCCUACUAUUGACUUGUAUAUAAACCCACUUUUGGCUGGUGAAGAGUUAAAAGGAGAAUGUACUAGACUCGCAUAUAAAUUAUAAAUUAUAAGCUUUGUCGGAAUCUACGUUCUUUUGGCUUUUGGUCGUUUUCCACCCCAGCACGCCGUUAUUUAUUUUUAAGAAACAAUGGUCACUGUAAUUGUUGUCUUUUCUGGCUUUGUCUAGUGUUUUUCAGAGUAAUAAAUAGUUUGAUUGAUGGACUGUUGGACUUGGUAUUGGAAUUUGGAUUGACGCGGGAUUAGGAUUCUCUCGUGACGCAAAGGCUGUUGGCUCGGAGAAAUGAUUACUUUGAACAUUUUUCGCAUGCAUGCAUUCUAUGAUUUUUCAUUUGCUUGACUUUGUUGUUCAUCCAAAUGAAAUCAAAUACUCAUUUGGUAUGAUAGAAUCAAUGGGCAAUCAUUUUUAUGUUAAGCUUAAAAAAUAGGUUAUCUGUUUCUGUGCUUUGUGCUUUCAACUACCGAUGAUGAACCGCCUACUACUUCAUAACAAUGUAUGUUAUACUGACAAUAUUUUCCGUGGCUCCUUUCAUUUAUUUAUUUAUUUAUUAAAAUUGAUAUUUUUUUUAUCUUUUCGUUUUCGACAAGGAAGGUAAUUGAGAUGUUUAACGACGGGAUGAUGUUUUCCUUUAAAAGAAUAAAUAAAUAAAUAAAAGACAAAAUUUUAUGCCAUGGGGACAAAAUGCCACAUGAGGAGAAAUGCACGCCACUAAAUUUGGGAUAAUAAUUUAAUUUGAAUUGACAUCUAAAACAGUUGUAGGCUAACCAAUAUUUCUACAAAAAAAAAAAAAAAGUUCAGAGUUAUUGGUAGCGUUUUGUCUUUAAUUUUCUGAACUCUGCGCAGUUGGUGUAAUAGUCUUUGUUGCUCUUCUCUUUGCGGCUAAGGAGCCUAGAGAGAUGGAGUGAAGCUGAGCACGAACUAUGAUUUGGUACUCUCACUCCUUAAAAGAGAUCAGGUGUUCAAAUCUCGUUCUCGUAUGAAGUCACCACUUGGGCCAGCACUUUACCCUUUACGGACCGAUCCGGUGCGAGCGAAGAUUAGUCUGGGUUGUGGUACAAACUUAAAAGUGCCUCCAUAAUUGAGACCCACUCAGGACCACCUUGUAGUUCAAAAAAAAAAAAAAAUACGACUACAAUCUAUAUCUCAUGGUCCCAAAACAUCCUACCAAUCAAUGCAAUUAUCAAAAAUGAGAUUCACACCACAUUCAGCACUACAAAUAGCACCGAACGGUGCGUUUUGAGGUAACUAUAAAUCACCACUGAAUCGACAAUUGCAACAUACACUGUUCACAACACGCUCUUUCGCUCUCUCCAUCACACACCGCAAAUCUCACCAAGCCACCAAUAUCACCACGCUCCGUUCUUCCUCGGCAGGCUUCGUUCUUACCGUCGGCUCUCGCUCUCUCUCUCCCCUUCAAAUCCAGCAGCGUGGGUCACUUUCUCUCUCUCCCCUCCAAGUCCAGCAAACAUGGGCACACUCUCUCUCCCUUCCAAGUCCACUAGUCGUGGGUCACUCUCUCUUCCCACUAAAUCUAGCAACCGCAGGUCACUCUCUCUGUCUCCCCUCCAAAAUCCAGCAGCGUGGGUCACACUCUCUCUCCCCCUCCAAACCCAACGGCCGUGAGUCACUCUCUCCCUCCUUCAAAUCCAGCAGCCAGGGUCACUCUUUUUUCCUCCGAAAUCCACAGCAGCCGUGGGUCACAGCUGCCAUUGUGUCGUUGUCGACAGCUGUCGUAAUCGACUUCUGAAGGUAAUUUGCUUCCUUAGAAUAUCCUUAUUUUAAUAAUUUACUAGUUAGAAACUUAAAGUCCAACCAGGUAUUUUCCUAUACUAAUUUUUUAUGCACCAGUGUAAAUAGCUAUCUCAAUUCUGUAUUCUGAGUAAAAUGCUGGAUCUAAGAUAUUAUUUGCUUUUGUGGUGAAAAUUUGGCUGCCAGAAGAAGCAACAAUCAUUAAACUUAAUGAGCCAAUGUCAUUGACUUUUGCUCUGAGAUACAUGAAUUCAUUCACAAGGGCUACACCAUUGUUGAAUACUGUUACUACCAGCCUGUCUUCAGAACUGCCUGUUGUGGUCGAGUAAAAGAUUGCUGAGAUGGGUUAUAUUAGAUUCUACUUGGCUCCCAAUACAGAAGAAGAUGAGGAUGAGACCAAGCCUCUAGCUUAAGUGUCAUUUGGCACAUAGGCUAUGGCAUUUUUUUGAAUCAAAUUACUCCUAUAUUUUAAGUUUGCUUUUAGAAUAUUUCUCGUAAAUUUUCAUGUUGAAAAACCAAGCAUUUAGUUCAGUAGAUUGAUAAAAAUUCAUUUCUUGUGCUUGCCUUUUUUAUCUUAGUACUGUUCUACAUGUAAUUGAUUCAUUUGGCUUUGUUGCUUUGAAAUGUAGGCUUUAAUUGAGUUGAAAUUUUCAGAAAUUUAUCAAAAAUGAACCAUAAACAAAAACUUCAGAUUGUUUGCUUAUUAUAACAAUGGCAAAAUUAUAGAAGAUAGCAUUAUAUUGGGUGACAAAAUGUUCUUAUGGAUGAUCCUGAUUAAACUGUGUAUUUCACAAUGUAAUUACUUGUUGAUCAAUUUAAUUGAAUUGAUUAACACAUUGGUUUGAGUUUUAAUACUACUGCUCAGUUUUUGGGUUAAUCGAAGAUUGCAAUUUUGCAGGAACUGGUAAAUUGGACACGAUAACAAAAAACUCUCACGUAUUACCGAAAUGAUAGCUGUGAUACUUCAGCCCUUAUGAAUAGUACACAAUGGUUGCAAGCAAAUUAAUUAAUUCAUAACUUGUAAAUAAAUAAACCCAAAAAAAAAAUUAAAUGAUGGAUAAUAUGAAGGAAUCAAAUCCAGAUUUUUCCUGCAACAAACUUCCCAGAAACAAAAUUUGGUGAUAUUCCUCAAACUGAGAACACAACCUAGUGCUAUUUCCUUUGUUUGAGGUUUCUUUGUUUUUCAACAUUGAUCUAGCUAUCUUGUUGCUUUUGUUAAUGUGGACAAAACAAAUUAAUAGUGUUUAAAUUAAUUCCUACAUAUGUAUUGGCGAAAAUCAUUUGCUCUGUUUCUUGGCUUCAUUGUAGAGGACGACCCCAAUUAUGGUGAGAGUCCAGCCAGACAUCGCAGUUAUAGAUACCGGAUUUCUGAAUAUAUGAAUUGAUACAACCACUGCAAUAUCUCCUUUUGCAGUUCCAAGAACCUGAAAGCCAAACGCACUUGGUAUGUCUUAAAAUGAUGUACUUGAUUGAACUAAAUUCACAAAAAUAUUACUUAAAGAGUUAAGGCAUUGGCGUUCUUAGUGACCAAAAAAUUGGUCAAAAUGACAAAAUAUGCAAGGGAUUGAAGAUCAGAUACCAUAAGAACUCCACAUCUUGUUUAGCAAGUGCAAUUGUGAUUCCAACUACAACGUUUUCCAUUAUUAGUACAGCAGGAAGAAGGGACAUAGCAGCUACUGGAGCCAUGUCCAUGAGAAGGUUCAUAGAAUUAAACGUUUCUUUGAGACAUCAACCAAAGUACACAAUAGGUAACAAAAGUACAAGUGAAAAAUGUUCAGAUUUCAAGUGGGUAAGCUCAAAGAAAUCUGAUAUACUUUAGAGGAGAGCAAAAUCCUUUGUAGGACUGUCUGAAGUGCCCAAGCUGGGAUGUCUGGCUAUAAGUCUUACCCCACUGGCAAUAAUAACGCCAGUAACAACAGGAAUAAAGGUCACAUAAGUAAGCCAGCCCUCCCUCUUGAGGGUCAUCAAAUGAGCAAAAACCGCUGUGAAAAACGGCGUUGUAGCCCACACAGCCUGAUUAAACAACACUGGGAGAGUGAAGCUGCUAGUCAAAUUUUUGAGACAGCUGAGAGAGUGAGGUGUCAUGAGAGAUGCAAUUGACGGAGAAGAGAGAGAGGAAGCCGAUGGUGAGAAUGGUGUGGAAGAGUGGAGCAUGGUGAGAUUGGUGGCUUGGUGAGAUUUGUGGUGCGAGGGAGAGAGGGACAGAGCGUGUGUGUUAUGAACGGUGCGUGUGUGUUGUAAUUGUCAAUCCACAGUGACAAUUUAUACUUACCUUAAAACACGCUGUACGGCGCCAUCUGUGGUGCUAAAUGUUGUGUGAAUAUCGUUAUUGAUGUAAUUAUAGUUACGAAGCCUAAAAAAUUAUUGCUUUUGCUUAGUUACGGCUGGUUGUAAGUUAUUCUCUAUACAAAAAUAUGCAAAAAGUAGUUACAGGACGGUGGACCCACUUAAUUUUUAUAUGGACGGUAAGUAACACAAAUUAUAAUUUAGCAAAACUCAAAAAUUAUAGGAAAGAAAGAAUUUUUUUUUUUUUUUUUUUACCUAAAUGAUUAGAAUACAUUUACUCAUAAUUACCAAAGCAGAAAUUAAGUGAUAAUUAAGGGCUGGUGAAACAUUUAAUUUCAAACCACUAAAUUUGAGAGCUACAACAAUAAGAGAAGUUAAGUAACAAUUAAGUGCUUAUAAACGAUAACUUUUACUAUAGGUAAAGGACUUAUGUAUUCAAUAACUAACCAAGAGCUCAAGGUCAUCUCAUAUGAAUAACGCUGUUGUGUGAGAGGGAUUAUAAUUGCGUGAGAAAUGACCCCUGAUGAAUUUGGACAACCAGUAGAAAUUAGAAUUUAAAUUUUUUUUAUUUUUAAGUUUUUCCAAUAUUUCAAUGUUAUUCUCAGACAUUUAAUUAAACUUAAAUAAAUCUUAAGAACAUAUAAAAACAUGUUUUUGUAAUAGGCCUAAAACGAAACUUUAGAAAAUACAUUUUUAUGUUAAUUUCUUUUAAUUAUUUAUCUGUUACAUACAAAUAUGAUAUGAAUGUGAGAUAAACUCUUUCAUAAAUUUUGUGUUUGACAAGACCAAACCAAAACUUUCACGAAAUAAAUAAUUAAUUAGUUAAUCCAAAACUACUCUGGUUAAUGUGUUACAUGUAGAAUGUGUUUGAAUAAAUUAAUUUAUAAUAAUUUUAAACAAAAUAAAUUUAGUCUAUUUAUAUUUCACUCGUCAAUGGGAGUUCUUUUCACUCUUCGGCUUCUAGACUCUUGCAAUUUAGGGUUAUCACUAUUACUACUACUACUACUACUACUACUAUUAUUAUUAUUAUUAUUAUUAUUAUUAUUAUUAUUAUUAUUAUUGUUCUUGGUCAUAAUUUUAAAAUUUGUUGGGAAAUCUAUGGAAUUAUAUAUCAAACAUCUAAAUUAAUAAUAUGUAUGAAAUAAAUUGCAUCCCACACAAAUAUAAAUAAUAAUUUUACUUGAAUUAAACACACAAAUCCUAUAUUAUAAUAUUAGGCGUAAGAAAACUUACACACUCGACCAUUUUAUUAUAAUUUGGACUUACUGAAGUAUACUAUUCACUCAGAUUUAUCAACCAUAUAUAAGUCACUUUAUUAAACCAUGAUUAUUGUAAAAUAAAAAAAUUAUUGUCUUUCAAUUGUAAAUGGACGAACUGUUUAUACUCGACCUUUAUAUAAUUGUAUAAAUAUUAACCUUUGUAUAACUCAAAAUUAUAGUUUAUUCUAUCAAUCUUAAUAAAUUGGAAGUAGAUGAUUUUGAUUUGCAAAUGUUUUCGCUUCCAUAUUUGUAACUAUUUUGAUUUUAAAAAUUCAAUAAACAAAUAAAGUUGACCGAAGUAUUCUCUAAAUGCCGACCAUUUUAAUUAACAAAACUUAAAAACUUUUAAGGAGAAUUGGGCCAGCAGUAAAUCCUUGAUUAUAUGUAAACUGAUAACCUUCAAAAACCAUUUAAAUUGGCUUUCUUAACCCAAAAGUAUUCUAAUCCAAUGUUUGCUAUAUGAUUUCGAACCAAGUUCGAUUUAUUCAAUUCAUAAUUAAAUGACGAAGAGAAUAUUUUAAUGAGUUCAAAUAGUUUUACUUUAUUAAUAACUUAGUAGAAACCUAAUGAAAGUGAGAAUAUUGGAAUCUUUGACUCUCUUUGUAUUUGAGGUAUUUUUGCUUUUUUAUUUAUUGUUUUAGAUUUCAAUGCUAUAUUUAUUUGGUUUAUUAAAAAAAGAAAAUGCUCCUUCAAAACAUUUCAUAAAUUCUCUGCGAGUUACAUGAGAACUACGACAUUCAUUAUUUUUAUAUAUGCAGAUACAAGUUUUUUUUUUUUUUUGAAUGAUAUAUGCAGAUACAAGUUGAUCGUUAUUACAUUUUCCAUAUAUAUAUAUAUAUAUAUAGUUGUUUUCUGGUUAAGCCUUUAAAAUCAUGCGGUUUUAAAGUUUUCCUGGAUUAUCCCGCACUUUAAAAUUUCAGAUUGGAAUAUUUCUCUCUCUCUAUAUAUGUGUGUGUGUAUGUGUAUUUGAAGUUUUUUGGUCCGAAAUUUUAAAAUACAGGAAAGUUGGAGAAAGAUAUUAAAUCCCACGGUCUAAGAGCAUUAUGAAAUUAUACCCUCAAACAAUACAAUUUAAGAGAUUUCUCAAACUUUCCUAUACUUUAAAAUCCUUGAUUGGAACACACACACACACACACAUAUAUAUAUAUAUAUAGUAACUAAACUAUGUCUCCAGGCAACUAGUUAGCCUUGAACUUUGCUUGAGGAGCUUUCACUACAUAUGGAUCAAGUUGGAAUGCCCUAGCGAAAGCAUAAGGAUCAAUUGGUGGAGUAGAUCCGAAGAUUGCAUCUGCAAUUGUAAUAACACCAGGAUUCUAGUUGCUCAAAGCAGCAGUGGCAAACAGCACUGCUUGGUCCAAUAUUCGCUUGGAAAUGAAUGAGCCCAAUUGGAAACACAAACACGUCUCCUUUGUUCAGGGCUCUGGCGAAGAGCGUGUUAUUUAGCUGGUUUGAUGUCACAAAACCAACAUAGAGAGUGCCCUCCAGGACUACUAGGAUUUCUCUAGCACAAGGGUGAGUGUGAGGUAUGUUUGGCCGCCGUUUGCCACGUAGUCGAUACGAACUACGGAUAUGCCGAGUAGUUCUGAGCCCUCGAAUCUGUUCUAUAUUUACAGUCGUGACUGUUGAGCCAACUUGCUUUGUUGUGCUUUUAGGGAUAUUGUGCCCUGAAAAUCAAUCAAAACUACUUGUUAAAAAGAUUCUGUUUCGUUUUUAACUUUUUUUGUGUCUUUUACUAUUUUACCCCCAUAAUUAGACUUUUGAUACACAAAGGUCAACAAUUAAUCAAUAAAAGGAAAAAAUUAAUCAUAAGUCUGGUUUUCAUGGUAAAAUAAAAAAAUAGACAAAAAAUUAGAAAGUUCCUGUACUCAUUUUAAUGCCAAAGAGUAGUAAUGAGUUUUGAAACAUAAGGAGAGAAAUAAUAGAUCUACUUGAACAAUAGGAGGAUUUUGAUCAUUUUCCCACUUAUAUACAGAAAAACGAUACACAUCACAUGUCUUGAACUUGAAAUCAUUGAUGUCAACACAACCAAGAGGACAGAAGCUACAAGAAAUUGAACUCCUUUCAUGUUGAUUACUCUAGGUAUGUGUCAAUAGGGCAUAAGUAGCCUUUCAUAGUCGGAUUGAAUUAUAAAGAUGCGAAGACUUACCAAGUUUAUUGGUUCUUUUUUUUGUCAUGCUUUAUAAAUGAAGAUUAGUGAGUUCUCCAUGAGACUAUCCUUAGAUAUUUAUUUUUUUAAUUUGAUAAUGUUCAACGGAUAAUUUUUUAAUUCUGUAUUUGUUGUAAGUGCUUAUUUUUCGUACAUCUAAUCUUCAUAUGUCGGCUGCUGCUAGUGUAUAUCGACUAGACUGACACCACUACUAGAAAUUGUUUAUGAUCAAUGUAAAUAAAAAAGUGGUGUUUUGUUAAUAUUGGGGACUGUGGUCGUUCCGUUCAAAUAAUCUUCUAAACUUAAAAUGUCGUUUGAUGAACCAUAUAUAUGUCACAUAGAUUUACUCAUUUAUAAUAUUUUAUAUAGCACACAGUACAUGGAACAAGAAUGUGUGGAUAGUCUAUCUCGAAUGAUCUAUCUCUAUGUCAUAAAUUAAUCUUCAAUCUGAAAAUGUACAUAUGCACUCCUAAGAUAUUAAAAAACGUUUCAACAUAUUUUCAUACUUAUAUGAUCAUAUCAUUUUUUUUUCCUUCCAAGUGGGAAAAUAUUUCAUGGUCUUGGAUAGACAUCCACCCUCUUUGUGGUGUGCAUGAGUCUAUUAUUUUUAGCAAUCUAGGGAAGGAUGAUGGAUGAGGAGAAAAAGAUUAUUUAUGAAUUGACUUCUGUAAUACUGAUAUAGUCACAAAUUUAAAGAAGUAACGUUACCCAAACAAAGUCUGUACCUCAACAAACAUGAGACCAUUUAAUUCAAAUCUACCACAUGAUUAUGUGAAAUGAUAGUUAAUAAUUCAAAUAUUAUAAAUAUACUAGAUGAUUUUAAAUGUCAUGUCAAUUUAUCUCUAACUACAUAAGUAAAAUAUUAUUGUUUGAUGAGAUAUGUUGAUAUAUAUAUAAUUUUCUACCUACUCAUAGUUUACGUUCCUCGACAAAGUGUUCGGAUCUUUCUUUUUUUAAUUUUUUUUUUUUUUUGUGGCAAAAUUGUGAAAACAAAAUAAAAGAGAUGUUCAUGGUCAAAAAUUCUUUCAGCAAGGAUAAUCUGGUCAUCAGCAUCAGCUGUUUAAUAGAGAAGGUUAUAAAAAACCAAAAGCAAAGUUUUUGAAAACUAGAUAGGUUGUACAGGGAUAUUGACAGGGCUUGAAAGUAUGUUAAUGCUUCUUUUUCUUUUCUUCUCGUUAUAAGCACACAACGACAUAAUUAAUUGAUUGAUGAAAAAUCGAUGCUUUAAAGCGACUGAAGCUUUAGUAGUCCCAGCAAAAAAUUUAAACAAAGUCAGUACAUCAAAUUUUCAUUGAUUGCACCUUUUUUUGGCCAAAAUAACUCCAACAAGUAAGAACCCUCUCAGUCAAAAUUGUAAAUCACUGUAAUAAAAAAUUUUAAAGUCCUAUGUUAUAUUCUCCGUACAAGAAAUUUUAAAAUACAUUAAAGGAAAUUCAACUAAUUGACAUGUGUAUAAUAUGUAUGUUAAAUUUUAUAUAAUUACACUUGUAUAGUAAUUUUUCAAAAUAAAUUUACAUAUGGCAUAAUUUCAUUUAUUUGUUGUAUGAUUGAUAUAAUAUUUUAAAAGUACUUUAAAUUUUCUCUCUCCAUAGCAGCUUUUUUUUCUCGUAUUAUAUGUUUACGUAAGAGAAAUCUGAACUUUUUUUUUUUUGCUCUUUUUAAACAGUUUUAGUUUAAAUAAAAGUAUUGAAUUUUUAAUUCGAAUUCAUGACUAGUUUGAGUGCUUUUGGCUAGGGGUGGGCACGGUUCGGUUCGGAUCGAAAUUAAGUAGAACCGAUUUAAUCGGUUAUUUUAUAAAAAGAACCGAAUAAGAACCGAACUCAAUAAGAACCGAACUCAAAUGGAUCUUUUCGGAUCGGUUCGGUUUUUUCGGUUCUGAGCCUAUUAGGCCUAUUUUGAAUUUUUAAAUUUUUAGCCCAUUGGGCCUCAUAAAUGUAAUAAUUUUUUUCAACAAUUAGUUCAUCCUAAUUUCAUUACAAAUAUUAACAAUAAAUACAAAGUAUUCAAAGCACAUUUUAUCACUAAUAUCUUACUAACUACUAAUAAGGUACUCACAAAAUAUAAAAUAUUAAAAUUUCAAAAUACAUAACCAAACUCCAAUACUCCAUCUAUAUAAACAUAAUCAUAAUGUUGUAAAGACAAAUAAAAAUAACAACAAUUACAACUUACAACACAAAAUAAAAAGAAAAUUUAGAAACAAACGCCAACAACAUUCUCCCAUCUUCAUCAAUAUCAACAUUUUAGGCAUUUUCCAACUCAAUAUUUGGAUCUAUAAAAAAAAUUUAACACAUGUCGAUUUGAAUAAAAUCUAAAAUUAAUUUGGUUUUUCGGUUCGGUUUUUCGGUUCAGCUGAGUGAACCAAAUACCGAACCGAUAUUUCGGUUUUUUUACAAAUGAUAUAUUUCAGUUUUUUAAAAAAUAAAAACCGAUCCGAAUUAGAAAAAACCGCCAGUUUGGUUCGGUAUUUUUAAGACCGCGGUUUUUUUGCCCACCCCUACUUUUGGCAAGAAAGUUUGUUAUGCAUAGCGCACACUAACGGAAGUUAGUUACGGCAGUUGCUGCUUUGACUUUUGGUUGACCUAAGCUGUUAUAUAGGCUGAUAAGCAUAGUAGGUUGUAGUUAAUUCAUUUCUCUGAGUUAUAAAACACUUGAUGACUCAUCAGAAAUCUGAUUGUAAUCUCUUUAAAUAUGAACCCUUUACUCUUAAUGAAAAAGAGCUUGAAGAUGGCUUACUGUGCAUAAACAUUGGUGGUUAGUGUUGAUAAUUUACGUGUGUGCUUUGCAUUAUGCUUGCUAGUUGUGUUUGUCUUGAUUAUUGGGGCCAAUUUUGGUUGCUAGUUGUGUUUGUCUCAAUUAUUGGGGUAAAUUUUGGUUGUGUUAGGAAAUUGAUGGGUGAAACAGACACAUAACUAAAAUGAAAUUGAGAAACAAUGAUCACAUAGGGACACUAAGAUUUACAUGAUUCAACUUUUAGCCUACAUCCAUGGUGUUGUGCAAAUUUUAUUGUACUCGCAAGCGCAAAAAUUUAUUGUAGUAUAAAUUUAUAGUGACGAGUGUCGAUCCCAUAAGGAGGUAGAUUUAAUCAUAUGUAGGGUUAAUUUUCCAAGUUCAUAUGUGUAUUGCUUAGAAGUUAUUUCUUUAUCUUAAGAUUUAAAAUAAAAUGACAAGAAUGAAUUAAAGAUGAAACUAUACAAAUGAAGUGCUUAAGUUUUUAGAUUCACACUCAACACUUCACUAUGGACUUACUAUUCUUUUUUUAGUUCCAAUUAAUAUAUGAGGGAUAUUUCCACUCCUCAUAAGCCUCAUUCUAAUAAAUAUAGUAUCAAGCACUCAUUCUUACUACUUACUAGAACGAAACCCUUAUUUAUAGGCUUCACGUUCCCUCUUCCUCUAUUUUUUUUUUUUUUUUUAAUAAAAGACUUAGUGGAUGUUGAAAGUUACACUAAUAAUAUGCUACUUACUCAUAUCUCCCAGUUACUCAACAAAUUAUGCCAAAAGUCAGAAUGUUGCAUGAUAACCACAUGCAAUUACUUGCUACAUGCAUGCAUAUGUUCGACAUUAUGUGUCUUUGCUCUUAUCAAGCGACAUCAGCAGGUCAUCUAUCAAUUGAUCUUGGGGCUUAAUAUAAUCUGUUUCACAUCAGAUUUUGCAUAACAAAAGUAACGAAGAGAUUAAUUAGAAUAAAUAAAUAUAUAUGUGUGUGUAUGUACCGACAAAAUAUAUGUGUAAGGAGAGGCAUGGGAAAGGCUUGGCUGCUAAAUAAAAACAACAAUAAAUUAUGUUUAUUACAUGGCUACAAUCAGCCUGGAGAGAGGUUCAUCAGAGACCUCUUUUAUUACAUUAAGAUAUGAUAAUCUGGAGUUAAAACAAUAAAGCCACUAGUGAAGAGGCCAUUUAUAUUAAAGCUCAUUAAUUCCUUCUCCUAAUCGCCAUUAAUGAACUUAUGCUGAAGAUCUUUCACUGUCUUCGGGUCCAACUGGAAUGCCUUGGCAAGAAAAUCGGGAUUGAUUGGAGGAUUAGCUCCAAAGACCGCGUCGGCUAUGGUAAUUUCACCGGGGAACUGGCUGUUUAGAGCAGAAUAGGCAACUGCAUUUGUUUUUCCAACGUUGAAUUGGAAGUGAAUCAAACCUUUUGGAAACACAAAAGCAUCUCCCUUAUUCAGAACUUUUGCGAUGAGUUUGUUAUUUAGCUGGUCUGAUGUCACAAAACCGACAUGAAGAGUUCCUUCCAGGACCAGCAGGAUUUCACUGGCACGGGGGUGAAUAUGAGGUGGCCUUUGGCCGUAUGGCGCAUAGUCAAUGCGGAAUGCUGAUAUGCCAAGGGUGUUGAGGCCUGGAAUUUGCUCAACAUUUGCAUCUGUUUCAUCAACACCAAGUCGAUUUGCUGUGUUUCCAGGCUUGUCUAGCCCUGAGAAGAAGAAAUCAUCUGCUCUCGCAAGCUUGGGGUCCUUGCAGAACUUCCCAUUCACAAACACUACAAGAACACACACACAUACACACACAAAGGGGGAAAAAAAGAAUAAUUAAGUAGCAGCACAAAUUAUAUUGAAAUUUAUAUGUUUCGUUAGUUCAGCUUACGUACCACCAUCCUUCGGGUCCUCGAUGGCUACACAGAUAUCUUGUAGAGGGCUAGGGUCAGAGGCAGAGGCCAAAGAAGAAGCCAAAGCCAAGAGAGCAAAACCUAUAAGAAAUUGAAUUGCCUUCAUGGUGAUUAAUUAACAGGAUGUACCUAUCUCAAACUUUAAUCAAGUGUUGUGAUUUGAGAAUAUUGCGAGGCAAACUAGACUAUUUAUAGAACGGAGUCCGUGAACGAGUUUGCGUGUUCAAUUAAUUAGUCCUCGAAGCCGGUCAAGAUUACUGAGUUCUCAUUGGUUAUCUUUGUAAUGUUUCUCAGCCUUCAUUUUCAUUUUUGUUUUCAAAAUUUACACAUCUUAAAUAUAAAUUGUAAAACGUACAAAACAAAGUCUGGCUGACAGUGAUAAAACCCAGACAGGUUAGACACGUUUCCGCCAAUCUUCAAAGCGAACCAUAAAAUACGAUAAGAAACAAUAUUUUAACGCGUUUUCCAAAGCUUAAUUUAAAUAUAAUUUUUUCAUUGGAAAGAAACGAGUCGAAGAAUUUAUGAAAAUGGGUGAGAAAGAAAUUCAUGUCUCUAGCAACAGACUAACAGUUCGGAGUCAUGUUCUAUAGAUGUCGAUGUUACCGGACUUGAUUGGUUUGUUGUUGGACUUAAUGAAGAAGCAUUAUUAGCCUUUUUUUUUUCUUUUUCAUAGCAAUUUUCGUAGCUGCUUUAACCAUUUUUAGUUCUAUCAAUGCUUUACCGAGUCAAUGAUGCACAUGUUUUUUUCAUUACAUGUUAAAGUCACAAAUCAUCUGCUUCAAGAAAAAACGUGAAGACUAUGAUCAGGAGGAACCAAAAGUCUUCUAUCUUAUUUUCAGUGGUCACGUUAAUUAGAAGCUGGAGUCGGCACGUUUUGUUAGAGAUAGUGAAAUCCUUUUACAGUGUCAAUUGAUAUAUAUCAUUUCAACUUUAAAAGUUAAUUUUAAUAUUUAAUAAUUUUUUUAAAAAUCGCUUUUAGUAAAAUCAUGUAGAUCUUGAAAAGUAAAAAAAGAUUAGUUUUUUAAAAUUUGAUUUCGAUGAUCACUUUUAUACUUAAUACAAUUUCAUAUAUAUCCUUAUGUAUAAGAAAAAUCCAAAAUCAUCCUCAUUAAUUAGAAAAUAAAAUUAUUAAUUUGAAAGAGAUUAUUUGUAUUACCAAUUAUAUUGAGAUAACAAGAUAAAAAUAAAAUUAAUAAUGUAAAUAUUUAUUUUAGUUAUCAAUUUUUAUAAAUACACACCUAAAAAUAUUUUAUUUACAUGUUUAUAAAUUUGUAAAUAAAUUUUAUCCAACAAAUGUUCACUUUAAUCAUUUAUAUUCUUACAACAUUUUAACAGUAAGAUUUACCAAAUACAUACGACUACUUUUAAAACCCACACACUUUUAAAAAUAAAUUUUACUGAACGUUUAAUUGGUUCUCUAUUAUAGCUGAUUAUUUCUACAGUAUGACUAACAGUAAUUAUUUUACAAGUUAUAACAUUAUUAAACUAGCCCAUAGUGACUCAAUUGAUUAAAACUAAGUCAAUUAAAUCACUAAGUUAGGAAAACAAACCGCCCUUUAGUAAAUUUCUUAAUGUAAAUAUUAGUAAAUUAUGAUGGAAAUAAAAAUAAUAAUCUCUUCCUUUGUUCACCUUUUAAUUAAAAUCCGUUUCAUUAGCUAUUUGAAUAACAAACUGAAUUGAUCACGAAAUAAUAAUCUCUUUUUCCAAUCAUACGAGCGGCUUUUUAAGAUCAUUUGUAAGGACAUUAAUUAUGUAUUUUUAAUGGGUUCAUAUGUUAAUUAUAUUGUAUACCGUUUGUCAACCAAACUGGCAAUCAUUUUAUUGGUUAAAAUUCAUUCAUAUCAGUAUUUAAGAUACGCAUCACUUUCUAGCAACAAUGCGUCAAUGUUAUAUAUGUUCCCGUUCAAACUUUCCACUUGCUGCCUCACCCAUGUAAGUUAUGAAAAAGUUGCUGAGAAAAUGAAAAAAUAAUCCAUGGCCAUGGAAAUAAUAAAACGCCGCCAGCCGUUUAGUAUAAUUCUAGGAGCGAUUUAUCAUUUCUUUUUCCUUUUUGCUUUUUAUUUCAACAAUUUAUUAUUGACUAGUGUAUUGCAGGCUUGCAUCAAUGAAGUGUUUGGAUCAUUUAUCCCCUUUUUUUCAAAUAUAAUUCAGAUAUAAUUCUAGAUUAUGCUGGUAGAAACAUCGUCUCAAAGAUUCUAUUGGGUCAUCAAUAGCUGUAUAUGAGUAUAUCUUGAAGAGGGCUACUUUUUCUAGGAUAUGCUGCUAGAAAAUUUUGCAGCACGUAACUACUACGAGUUAGUCUUUUUUGUUUAAUUAAGACUCUAAUCUCCCUUUCUAGAAUGCAAGAUAAAAAAUAAAGCUAGAAACGUUAUAUCAAAAUAAUGAAUAGUUACUAAUUUUUGUCAUAUAUAAUUCUAGACAUUCUAGUCACACAUUUUACCAUUUAGUCCAUAAUUUUUCAAAGUACAUAUUAUAUUUCUAAUAUUAUACUUUUAUGUUCAAAUUACUCUGUUGAGUUAUACAUGCGGCUUUUUAACAUAUUACCCGCUGUGGGUUUGGAUUUGAUAAUGGCAAACCCGCUGCAGGUGCUGCCUAUUGCUAUCUCUAGCCGUGUACUUUUUUUUCCUUUUAACUACAUUGAUGGAAAGCUGAAUUUUGACUUUUUAUAUUCUGACGAUCCUUCCUUGUACUUCAGUAUGAAGGAAUACGAAGAGAGGGCUGUAUCUUUGGCAUUGGAUCGGCAAAAGCUCCAGGCCCUCACCAAUAAACUUAAAUCAGUACGCUUGACAUGUCCUCUAUUUGACACAGCACGAUGGAUGAGUUGAAACUAAUGUUUGCGAUUGUUUUGCAGUUCUUGGCCCACUUUGUGAAAGAAGUGACUUACAAAUGGAUGCUUUUUUUUUUUGGAAAUUGCAAGUCAAGAAUCUGGAGAGGUCAUAUAUCAAAAUGUGGAGUCUCCAUUGCUCUGGGCAGAAGCCCCAACACUUCAAAGUAACUGAGAAUGACUUGGACUUCCCUUGCGAUAGAUAGGUAUAUGGGAAGGGAAACGGGAUUGUAGAUAAAAGCAAAUAGGAAUAGUAGAACGAUGAUUAUUAUUGUAUUUAGAAGAAGAAAUUGUUUCACCUUAUUCAAAUGACGCCAUGGCUGAUUUUGUGAUGUCAGUGCUGAUAAUGGAUUGUAGUCUGUGUACAAAUGUACUUUUCUAUUUAUAAGGAUUUGUGAAAAACGUUGGAGAUUAGAAAAGAAAAUAAAUAGAUUCUUCCUCAAGCCAUCAGUUCUGUUCUAUUAGAGUUGGGACCAGUGGCACCUCCCUAAUCUCAUCAUCAAAUUCCUUCUUCAGUUAUAUUUAUUUUAUCUGUGAAAAUGUCUUUUUUUUUUUCCUUUUUUUUAAGAACACUUUUAAUUUUUAUUUUAUUUUUUUAGUUAAAAGUAGUAUUGUGUUAUUAAUUUUUAUUUCUUUUGUAAUCUUAUUAUUAUCUUAUGCACAAGAUAAAAGAUUUUUUAGGUGACGAGUUUUUCAAUAUUAAUUAUUUAAUUAAAUUAUACAUAUGUUAAAUUAUAAUUUAAAAAUAAAUUUAAGUACAAAAAUAUUUAAUCGAUAACAAAUCUGAAAAUAAUAAUAGAUUAUUUCAAAUUUUGUAUGGUUUAUUUUAGUUAGAUAAGAAGUAACCGGUACAAAAUUAAAAAAAAAAAAAAAGAUUGAUUAUAAUUGUAAGUAAUUUUUUUUUUAAAAAAGAUAGAUUAUCAAUAUAAGUGAUUUAUUGAAAAGAAAAAUUUGUGUAUGAUUAAUUUUAUUUGAAGCAGGGUUUUUGAAGGAUAAUGAAGGGGUCCCAAACACUGUGGAGUUGUUGGCUCUUCCGCUGUCAAAGUCACGUAUGCUUGGAAGCUUUUAACCACCGCUGUCAAAAGUCACGUAUACUGCAAUUGGAUCAUGGAUUUUUCAUUUAAUAAGAUAACCACCGGCGGCAACUCUGAUAUACAAAAACAUGUAUUUCAGAUUACGGAAUCUAUCCAAACAUAUAGCAUGCGAGUGCGAUUACCAGCUCGAGCAGUUUUUAUUGCGGAAUUCUUUCAAACACAUAGCACGCAUGUGAAGUUCCCACAUUGGACCUUCCAAGAUGUUAGUUUCUCUAUUCAGAAACCGAACUCAAUGCCUCAUCCCCUCCUUCAAAACCAUGACCACCGCAGCCGGGGCUAAAACCUCAAAAGACGAUUACUUCGCAGCCGUAAACCACAUCGCCAUCAUAGUCCGUCACGACAUAUAUCCAGAACGCACCCUCAACAGACUCAACCUCACCCUCACCUCAGAGCUCGUCUACCGCGUCCUCCGCGUCUGCCACACUACUUGCCCUUCCAAAUCCCUCCGCUUCUUCACCUGGGCCCGCUCCCAGCCCCAAUACUCUCCCACUUCCCUCGAAUUCGAACAGCUCAUCUGACCCUCGCCCACCACAAACUCUACCAGUCCAUGUGGAAUCUACGUUCUUCUGGCAUUUGAUUGCGUUCCACCCAAGCACGCUGUUAUUUAUUUUUAAGAAAUAAUGGUGUUUGUAAUUAUUGUCUUUUCUGGCUUUAUCUAGAGUUUAUCUGAGAAAUAAACAGUCAUAAAUAGUUUUGGUUGAUGGACUCUUGGACUUGGUAUUGGAAUUUGGAUUGAAGCAGAGGCGGUUGGCUCGGAGAAAUGAUUACUUUGAACAUUUUUUGCAUGCAUGUAUUUUAUGAUUUUUCAUUUGCUUCUAACCUUGUUGUUCAUUCAAAUGAAAUCAAAUACUCAUUUGGUAUGAUAGAAUCAGUGGGCAAUCAUUUUUAUUUUAGCUUAAAAACCAGGUUAUCUUUGCAUAGCUAUAGUUUUAUAGUUUCUGUUUCUGUGCUUUAUGCUUUCAAAUACUGAUGAUGAACCGAGUGUUUAGCCCAGAGCAAGCUUUCGGGUUUAAGGACAUUAAUUUGCAGCUGAUUCAGCGGUUACACAUACAAUGAUAAAAAUGUGUACCCAAACGCACAGUUUAUGAGCAUGUCUCUCACUGUAUACACGAUUGAGAGUGGGUCCGCCUCCUACUUUAUAACAAUUUAUGUUAUACUGACAAUAUUUUCCGCAGUGAUCGCAUGUUUGAAGUUUUGCUUCUCGAAAUGGCUCCUUUCAUUUUUUUCUUUAUUAAAAUAGACAAUUUUCGUUUUUCGUUUUCGACAAGGAAGGUAACUGAUACGUUUAACGAAGGGAUGAUGUUUUCCUUCAAAAAAUAGUUCAGAGUUAUCGGUAGCGUCUUGUCUUUAAUUUUCUGAACUCCGUGCAGUUGGUGUAAUAGUUUUUGCUGUUCUUCUCUUUGCGGCUAGUGCCUAGAGAGAUGGAGAGAAGCUGAAUGUGAACUAGGAAGGUGGAAAUGUUGUACAUUAACAUACGUAAUCAACUACGACUAUAAAUCCUUUUCAUGGACCCAAAACAUCAUAUCAAUCAAUGCCAUUAUAGUUAUCAAAACUAAAAAAUUAUGGCUUUUGAUAAGUUACAGCUUGUUGUAAGUUUUUGUCCUUACAAAAACAUACAAAAAAUAGUAAUAUGACAGUGAGCACACUUAAUUUUUGUAUGGGCUGUAAAUUACGCUAACUUAGUGUAACUAAAUGUAUUAUAAGAAAGACAAAAUUUAUUGAUUUUUUUCUUAACUAAGUGAUUAGAAUACAUUUACUCAUAAUUAUCGAAGCAGAAAUUAAGUGAUAAUCAAGGGCUUGUAAAACACUUAAUUUCAAACCUCUAAAUUUGAGAACUAUAACAAUAAGAGAAGUUAAGUAACAAUUAAGUGCUUAUAAAACGAUAACUUUUAUUAUAGGUAAAGGAGAUAUGUAUUCAAUAACUAACCACAGGCUGAAGCUCAUCUCAUAUGAAUACUAUUGUGCGAUAGAGAUUACAAUUGUAUGACAAAUGACCCUUGAUAAAUUUAGACAACUAGUAGAAAUUAGAAUUUAAAUUUUUUAUUUUUAAGUUUUUCCAAUAUUCCAAUGUUAAACAUUUAAUUAAAAUUAAAUAAAUCUUAAGGAUAUAUAAAAUCAUGUUUUUAUAAUAGGCCUAAAACGAAACUUUAGAAAAUACAUUUUUUAUGUUAAUAUCUCUUAUAUAUUUAUCUGUUACAUACAAAUAUGAUAUGAAUGAGUGAUAAACUCUUUCAUAAAUUAUAUAUUUGACAAGACCAAACCAAAACUUCCACAAAAUAAAUAAUUAAUUAGUUAAUCCAAAACUACCUCGGUUAAUCUGUUAAAUGUUGAAUGUGUUUGAAUAAAGUAAUUUAUAACAAUUUUAAACAAAAUAAAUUUGGUCUAUUCUAUAUUUCAGUCGUCAAUGAGAGUUCUUUUCACCCUUCAACUACUGGACUCUCGCAAUUUAGAGUUAUCAUUUUUAUUAUUAUUGUUAUUGGUCAUAAUUUUAAAAUUUGUUGGGAAAUCUGCGGAAUUAUAUAUUAAACAUCUAAAUUAAUAAUAUGUAUGAAAUAAAUGGCAUCCCACACAAAUAUAAACAAUAAUUUUACUUGAAUUAAACACCCAAAUCCUAUAUUAUAAUAUUAUGCAUAAUUAAACUUACACACUAGACCAUUUUAUUAUAAUUUGGACUUGUGAAGUAUAUUAUUCACUCAGAUUUAUCAACCGUAGGUCACUUUAUCAAACCAUGAUUAUUGUAGAAUUAAAAAAGUUACUGCUUGUCAACUGUAAAUGGACGAACUGUUUAUACUCACCCUUUAUAUAAUUGUGUAAUUAAUUAAUCUUUGUAUAACUCAAAAUUAUUGUUUACUCUAUCAAUCUUAAUGAAUUGAAAGUAGAUGGUUUUAAUUUGCAAAUGUUUUUGCUUCUAUAUUUGUAACUAUUUUUAUUUAAAAAAAUUCAUUAAACAAAUAAAGUUGACCAAAGCAUUCUCCAAAUGCCGACCGUUUUAAUUGACAAAGCUUAAAAACUUUUAAGGAAAUUGGGGCAGAAUAAAUCCUUGAUUAUGUGUAAACUGAUAACCUUCAAAAACCAUUUAAAUUGCCUUUCUAAAGUAUUCUAAUCGAAUAUUUGCUAUAUGAUUUCGAACCAAGUUCGAUUUGUUCAAUUCAUGAUUAAAUGGCAAAGAUAAUAUUUUAAGGAGUUGAAAUAGUUCCACUUUAUUAAUAACUUGGUACAAACCUAAUAAAAAUGAGGAUAUUGGAGUCUCUCGCUCCCCUUGUAUUUGAGAGUAUUUUCGCUUAUUUAUUUAUUAUUUUAGAUUUCUAUGCUGCGUUUAUCUAGUUUAUUAAAAAAAAAGGAAGAUCCUCCUUCGAAAAAUUUCACAAAUUCCAUGCGAGUUAAGUAAGAACUACGCCAUUCAUUAUUUUUAUAUAUGCGGAUACAAGUUGAUCAUAUAUAUAUAUAGAGAGUAACUAAACUAUGUCUUCAGGCAACUAGUUAGCCCCGAACUUUGCUUGAAGAGCUUUCACUACAUAAGGAUCAAGUUGGAAUGCCCUGGCGAGAGCAUAAGGAUCAAUUGGUGGAUCUGAUCCGAAGACUACAUCUGCAAUUGUAAUAACACCAGGAUUCUGGCUACUCAAAGCAGCGAUGGCAAACAGCGUUGGUUGGUCGAAUAUUCACUUGGAAAUGAAUGAGCCCAUUUGGAAACACAAACACAUCUCCUUUGUUCAGGGCUCUGGUGAAGUGUGUUCUUUAGCUGGUUUGAUGUCACAAAACCAACAUAGAGAGUGCCCUCUAGGAUUACUAGGAUUUCUGGGGCACAAUGAUGAGAGUGAUGUGGGUUUGGCCGCUGUUUGCCGCGUAGUCGAUACGAACUAUAGAUAUGCCGAGUAGUGUUGUGCCCUGGAAUCUGUUCUACAUUUGCAGUUGUGACUGUUGAGCUAACUUGAUUCGCUACGCUUUUAGGGAUAUUGUGCCCUGAAAAUUAAUCAAAACUACUUGUUAAAAAGAUUCCGUUUCGUUUUGAAUUUUUUUGUGCCUUUUACUAUUUUAUCCCUAUAAUUAGACUUAUGAUACAUAAAAUGUCAACAAUUAAUCAAUAAGAGAAAAAAAUUAGUCAUAAGUCUGAUUUUAAUGGUAAAAUAAAAAAUAGACAAAAAAGUACAAAGUUUACGUAAUCAUUUUAAUGCCAAAGAGUUUUAAUGAGUUUUGAAACGUAAGGAGAAAAAUAAUAAAUCUACUAGAACAAUAGGAAGAUUUUGAUCAUUUUCCCACUGAUAUAAAGAAAAACGAUACACACCACACGUCUUGAUCUUGAAAUCGUUGAUGGCGACACAAAAAUCCUGAAGACGGCUAGGGUCAGAGGCAAUGGCCAAUGAACAAGCCAAAACCAAGAGAACAGAAGCUACAGGAAAUUGAACUCCUUUCAUGUUGAUUAGCCACAUGCAAUUAGGGAUGGCAAAAAUUCCUACGGGGACAGGUACCCUCGGGGAUUUUCCCCAUUCAGGGAGGGUAUGGGAAUAAUUUCAUACCCAAUUUCUUAUUCGAGGAAGGGACGGAGAAAUUUUUUUACCAAUUUCUUAUUCGGGGAGGGGACAUGGAUGAGGUGGAAUCCUCAUCCCCUACCCAUUUUCCCAUUUUAAUUUUUAAUUUUAUUAUUAUUUUUUAAAAUUACUAGUAAAUAAAUUAUAAAAUUUGAAUUAUAAAAUUAUAAAUAUUGGUAAAAAUAACAAAUAUCAAAAUAUUUAUAUUAUUAAACUUUUAGGCUUAAUUAACUAAUUAAAGUUCUAAAUUUUUAUUUAGGACAUUAAAAAAACCGGGUAAAUUCUAUUAGCCCAAAAAUUUUGUUUUAAUUUUAAUAUUCAUUAAAUGUUUUAAACUUAAAUAUAUUUUUUAUUUAUUUUUAGAUGUUAUAAUUGCCCACAGCGAAUCACAAUUUUAAUAUCUAAUUUAAUCUAAUAUUUGCUCUUGAUUUGCUCCGACUUAACUAUUGUGUUGUAGAAGGAAUAGUCCACAUUUAUAAAGUGCCAUGCCACCAUUGAAAAAGUUAAUUUUGAAUCUAAAUUCGAUUUUAUUUGUAACAAUUUUGUAUUAGACUAUUAAUUUAUUCAUGAUAGUUUGUAAAAGAAGUUUGUAUCCCUUACAUGCUGCGUUACUUACAAAUUUAAUGUAUGUGACUUUUGUAAUGGAUAUUAAUGUAAGAUAUAUUUCAAAUUUUACUUUUAUUUUAAUUUUUUAUUUUAAUAUGAUUAACUCAAAAUCAAAAACAAAAAAUGUAUUAGUUAUUCGGGGAUCGAGGACCCUUGGGGAUCCCCUAUUAUUAUUCGGGGAGGGGAUGUAGAUUCUCUCAAGUAAUUCUGACGGGGACGGGGACAUACGCAAAAUAUCAGGGAUGGGUACGGGGAGAUUGGUCCCCUCCCCUCCCCUCCCCAUUGCCAUCCCUACAUGCAAUUGCUUGCUACAUGCAUGCAAAUGUUCAACAUUAUGUGUGAUUGCUCUUAUCAAGCGACAUCAACUAGUCAUCUACCAAUUGAUCUUGGGGCUCAAUAGAAUCUGUUUCACAUCAGAUUUUGCAUAACAAAAAGUAAUGAAGAGAUUAAUUAAUAUAUGUGUGUGUGUGUGUGUGUGUACGGAAAAAAUAUAUGUAUAAGGAGAGGCAUGGGAAAGGCUUAGCUGCUAAAUAAAACAAACCAUAAAUUAUGUUUAUUACAUGGCUACAAUCAGCCUGAAGAGAGGUUCAUGAGAGAGCUUUUUUUUUACAUUAAUUAAGAUAUGAUAAUCUAGAGCUAAAACAAUAAAGCCACUAGUGAAGAGGCCAUUUAUAUUAAAGCUCAUUAAUUCCUUCUCCUAAUCGCCAUUAAUGAACUUAUGCUGAAGAUCUUUCACUGUCUUCGGGUCCAACUGGAAUGCCUUGGCAAGAAAAUCGGGAUUGAUUGGAGGAUUAGCUCCAAAGACCGCGUCGGCUAUGGUAAUUUCACCGGGGAACUGGCUGUUUAGAGCAGAAUAGGCAACUGCAUUUGUUUUUCCAACGUUGAAUUGGAAGUGAAUCAAACCUUUUGGAAACACAAAAGCAUCUCCCUUAUUCAGAACUUUUGCGAUGAGUUUGUUAUUUAGCUGGUCUGAUGUCACAAAACCGACAUGAAGAGUUCCUUCCAGGACCAGCAGGAUUUCACUGGCACGGGGGUGAAUAUGAGGUGGCCUUUGGCCGUAUGGCGCAUAGUCAAUGCGGAAUGCUGAUAUGCCAAGGGUGUUGAGGCCUGGAAUUUGCUCAACAUUUGCAUCUGUUUCAUCAACACCAAGUCGAUUUGCUGUGUUUCCAGGCUUGUCUAGCCCUGAGAAGAAGAAAUCAUCUGCUCUCGCAAGCUUGGGGUCCUUGCAGAACUUCCCAUUCACAAACACUACAAGAACACACACACAUACACACACAAAGGGGGAAAAAAAGAAUAAUUAAGUAGCAGCACAAAUUAUAUUGAAAUUUAUAUGUUUCGUUAGUUCAGCUUACGUACCACCAUCCUUCGGGUCCUCGAUGGCUACACAGAUAUCUUGUAGAGGGCUAGGGUCAGAGGCAGAGGCCAAAGAAGAAGCCAAAGCCAAGAGAGCAAAACCUAUAAGAAAUUGAAUUGCCUUCAUGGUGAUUAAUUAACAGGACGUACUUAUCUCAAACUUUAAUCAAGUGUUGGGAUUUGAGAAUAUAGCGAGGGAACCUAGCCUAUUUAUAGAACGGAAUCCAUGAACGAGUCUGUGAGUUCAAUUUCUUAGUCCUCGAAGCAGGAGAAGACUAACAGAGUCCUCAUUGGUUAUCUUUCUUAGGGCCUGUUCGGUAAUUUUUUCCUCUCAUCUUAAAAUAUAAUUUUUUCCUCUCAUCUUCUUCCUCUCUCUCUCUCCCUCGUCGUCAAAUCUUAUCUCUAAGUGUCUCAUCUUCUCCCUUUCUCUCCCUUACCAAGUUAUACACGUUACUGCUUUUUCCUUUUUUCUCGAUCAUUUUUUCAAUUGACAUUGUGCUUUCCUUCAAUUUACUCAACUCAUUGGAAAGAAACGAGUUGAAGAAUGUAUGAAAAUGGGUGAGAAGGAAAUUCACGUCUUUGGCAACAGACUAACAGUUGAGAGUCAUGUUCUGUAGAUAUCGAUGUUUCCGGACCUGAUUGGUUUGUCGUUGGACUUAAUGGAGAAGCAAGAUUAGGCUUUUUUUUUUUUUCUUUUCAUAGCAACUUUCGUAGCUUCUUUAACCAUUUUUAGUUCUAUUAAUGCUUUACAAGUCAAUGAUGCACGUGUUUUUUUCAUUACGUGUUAAAGUCACAAAUCAUCUGCUUCAAGAGAAAACAGACUAGGAUCAGAAAGGAACCAAAAGUCUUCCAUCUUAUUUUCUGUGGUCACGUUAAUUAGAAGCUGGAGUCGGCACUUUUUGUUAGAGAUAUCCUUCUACAAUCUCAAUUGAUAUAAUAUCAUUUCAACUUUAAUGGCUGCCCGAGGUUUACCGACCGGCUAGCUCAUUAUUUUUUUGAUAAAAAUUAGUUACCUUCGUUUGUUAUAUAAUCAGGGGGAUAUUGGAAUAAAAGAGAAUGGAAAAUGCUAAGUAUCAAGAAGAAUGAGAGAAAGCUGAGAGAAUGAAGCAUGUGCUGAGAGAAGAGAGAGAGAGAAAAAGUUGACAGAAGAGAGAGAGAUGAAGCAAAACAGCAACCUGAAUUGUAGUUUCUCUCAGCUUUCUCUCGUUCUUCUAGCCAUCUAGCAGCACUCAAAGAGAAUAAUUCUUUUUGACGCUUUAAUUAUGCAGUGAGUGCUACUAUAUGACUAGAAGAACGAGACAAAGCUGAGAGAAACUACAAUCUAGGUUGCCGUUUUGCUUCAUCUCUCUUUUUUGUCAGCUUUUUUUCUCUCUCUCUUCUCUCAGUACAUGCUUCAUUCUCUCAACUCUCUCUCAUUCUUCUUGAUACUUAGCAUUUUCCUUAUGUAAUUGAUCCCCUGCAUUGGGACUGUACCGUUAUAUAUUAUUUGCUGUUUGUUUUUUAUUUAAGAUCUGAAUAAGUUUAAAUUGGUAUGAAUUUUAAAUAAAUUUAAAUGCAUGAAUUUGAAUAACGUAUUUAUUUAUUUUUUGUCACAAACUUUGAGAAUAAAUAUUAAGUUAUUUUUAACUUCAAAAAUCUAAAAUCAAAACCUUUACAUUUGUGUCCUUACAAUUUUAAAUGUUAAAUAUAUAAUGAACAUCUCAAAGAAUAUAAAUAAGAUAGUAUUUUAUCAUAAUAUAUUUAUAUUUUGUAUGAAUUUUAAAUAAAUUUAAAUGCAUGAAUUUGAAUAACGUAUUUAUUUAUUUUUUGCCAGAAACUUUGAGAAUAAAUAUUAACUUUUAACUUAAAAAAUCUAAAAAUCAAAACCUUUACAUUUGUGUCUUUACAAUUUUAAAUGUUAAAUAUAUAAUGAACAUCUCAAAAAAUAUAAAUAAGAUAGUAUUUUAUCAUAACAUAAAUGGUGCUAAGUGAAUGCAACCUAUUAAUAUUCUAAAUUAGAAUUAUAUUAAUAAAAUUUUGUGAAGAUAAAUAAUUCUAGUUUGAAGAAAAUAAAAAGAUAAAAAUAAUGAUAAUUUACUACUAUAUUAGUAAGCUUUAUUUAGGUAAGGAGGAAAAUAAAUUAAUUAGAUAAAGGUAUUGCAGAGAAUAUUUUUCAAUGAUGUGAUUCAAAAUUUUCAGAUUAAGUAAAAAGCUAAACAAAAUAAUUAGCUUAAAAACUUAAUGACUUAUCAAUCACUAAAUUUUUUUAUUAAAUUGAAAAAAUUAACAGAGUUAUGGUCCAUUUAGGAUUUAUUUCGGGAGGUGCUUUUGAAAAGUUUAAAAGGUAAUUUUGAUGUUUGACAAAUUUUUUAAAAAAUCACUUUUAGCAAAAUCACCAUAUCAUACAACAAAUUUUUAAAAAUAGAGAAAGAGUAGUUUUUUAAAAUUGGAUUUCGAGAAUCUCUUUUAUACUUAAUACAAUUUCAUAUAUAUUCUUAUAUAUAGGAAAAAAUCCAAAACCAUCCUUAUAAAUUAGAAAAUAAAAUUAUUAAUUUUAAAGAGAUUAUUAUUAUUACCAAUUCUAUUGAGAUAACAAAAUAAAAAAUAAAAUUAAAAAUAUAAAACAUUUAUUUUAGUUAUCAAUUAUUAUUUAUACACAACUAAAAAUAUUUUAUUUAUAUGUUUAUAAAUGUGUAAAUAAUUUUUAUUCAACAAUAUGUUCAAUUUAAUUAUUUACAUUGUUAAAACAUUUUAACAGUAAGAUUUACUAAACAUUUAAUUGAUUCUCUAUACAGCUGAUUAUUUUUACAGUAUAGCUAACAACAAUUAUUUUAAAAUUUAUAACAUUAUCAAACUGACCCUUAGUGACUUAAUUGACUAAAAUUAAGUCAAUUAAAUCAUUAAGUUAGGAAAACAAACUGCCCUUUAGUAAAUUUCUUAAUGCAAAUAUUAUUAAACUAUAAUGUAAUUAAAAAUAAUAAUCUCUUCCUCUAUUCACUUUUUUAAUUACAAUUAGUUUCAGUAGCUAUUUUGAAUGACAAACUGAAUUGAUCGCGAUAUAAUAAUCUCUUCUUUCAAUCAUAUGGGCAGGUUUGAGUCACUGAGGUAGCUGUGGGAAUUUGUUUUCGUUGAUUUCUGCACUGGGCUUUUUAGGAUUAUUUGUAAAGGCAUUAAUUAAGUAUUUUUAAUGGGUUUAUAUGUAAAUUAGAUUGUAUGUAAUAUUAAAGGUUUGUCAACCAAACUGGCAACCAUUAAUUAAGUUAAAAUCCAUUCGUGUCAGUAUUUAAGAUACGUGUCACAUUCUGGCAACAAUCUUAAUAUGUGUUUCCAUUCGAACUUUCCACUGGCUGCUUGACCCAUCUAAGUUAUGAAAAGUUUCUGAGAAAAUGAAAAAAUAAUCCAUGGCCGUGGAAAUAAUAGAACGCCGCCAGCUGUAUUGUAUGAUUCUAUGAGCGAUUUAUCAUUUCUUUUUUCUUUUUAUUUCGACAAUUUAUUACUGACUACUGUAUUGCAGGCUUGUAGCCAUUAAGUGUUUGGAUAAUUUAUCCCAUUAUUUUCAAAUAUAAUCCAGAUAUAAUUCUAGAUUAUGCUGGUAGAAACAUCGUCUCAAAGAUUCUAUUGGGUCAUCAAUAGCUGUAUAUAUCUUGAAGGGGACUAAUUUUUCUAGGAUAUGCUGGUGGAAAAUUUUGCACCACGUAACUACUAUGAAUGAGUCUUUGUUGCUUAAUUAAGACUCUAAUCUCUCUUUCUAGACUGCAAGAUAAGUUUAAGCUAGAAACAUUAUAUCAAGGUGUACACAUUUUCAUCAAAUAUAAUUGUAGACUUUCUGGUCACACAUUUUACCAUUUAGUCCAUAAUUUUUCAAAAUACCUAUUACGUUUCUAAUAUUAUACUUUUAUGUUUGAAUUAGUCUGUUGAACUAUACAUGUGACUUUUUAACAUAGAAUACCCUACAUACCUUUUAGUAGGGGAUUUAAAAAAAAGAGCGCAUUAUAUUAAACUAAGGUAGCAUUUGUUUUUUUUUUUUUUUCUGAAAUCUAAAUGAAUUUGAAUUUUUCUAAAGUCUGAAUGGGUCUGAUUACGAAAAUUUAAAUAAUAUGUUUAUUUUUCUUUUUUAAAUAUUUGAAUAUAAGUGACAUUUUGUUUGUUUUUAAAAUAAAAACAUCUUAAACUUGGUUAUUUGACAUUUAUGUCCUUGUAAAUUCAAAAAAAAAAAAGAGAAUUAGAUUUUAUAGUUUAGGAAAUAAGUUAUUUUACAGAGAUAUUUUUAGAAUAUAAUAUUUACUUGUCUUUCAGACCUUUUUUCAUACAGAUAAAAGUCACAAAGUUUAUUUUUUCUAUUCAUAUGUAAAUGUCUGAAAAUCAGACAUAAGUUCCAAAAAAACAAACAAGUAUAUUUUAGAAAAGGUCUGAAAUUAAUAAAAUUUCAAACUUCAGACAUUUAACAAACAAUCUCUAAGUGUAUGUUUAAUAUGAUUUAUCUAAUGGUCAUAAGUGCUUAUCUAAUCCCAUAAAUUCCUUUUAAAAUUAUUAUUAUUGUUUGAUUGCAUUUUAAGUAAAGUUUUUAAGGAUUAAAUAAAUUUUUUUGUCUCUACUAACAAAAACUUAAAUUUUAAAAUUUUGAGAGUAUAGAUUAGAGAGACCUUUUAAAAAGUUAAAUCGUCCAAAAUGUUCCAUUAUUUAUUUCACAAUAUUAUGACAUUUCUCUCUCUCUCUCUCUCUCUCUAUAUAUAUAUAUAUAUCUUAAUUUUAAAAAUUUAUCUAUUAAAAUAAUUUUAUAUAAUUUUUAACAAAGAUCUCAUCGACAACCAAACAACUAAAAUUUCUUUAAUAAAAGCUUCACUUAUAAAAAUUUUACUAAUAAAAACUUUAUUUGAAUAAAUUUUAUCAGAAAAAUUAUACCAAACGAAGCUAACAAUAAGAUUAUAAUAGUAAAAGAAUUCAAUAAUUGCACUCUUAAUGUUACCAUUUAAAAAUUAUUAAGUUAAGAAUGAAAUAGGUAAUUUGGGAAACCCAUCUGGAGGGAUUUGCUUAACAUCCUUUAAAAUUUUUUCCCAGCUGGAAGUAAUUGCUGAACAUCCUUUUCAAUUCCCGAGUAUUAUCUAAUCAGCUUAUUUUGUCAUUUUUAGGUGUUUGCAAAGGCUUUUGGCAAGGAUACUGGGUUGGCUUACGUGUAGUGGACUGAUCAUGUUGACUUUGUUCGGUAGCACAUUUUAUUUUACGCGUGUCUAGUUGUAACCAUGUCUCUCACUGUAUACACCAGUGUGAGUGGGUCCGCCUACUAUUUUAUGACAAUUUAUGUUAUACUGACAAUAUUUUUCGUGCUGAUCACAAGUUUGAAGUUUUGCUUCUCUCGAAGAACUGGCUCCUUUCAUUUAUUUAUUUAUUAAAAUUUACAUUUUUUUUCCGUUUCCUUGCAAGAAAGGUAAUUAGAUUAAGUUUAACGGGGCGAUGAUGUUUUCCAUUAAAUAAGUAAAACACAAUUUUAUGCCAGAGUAGAAAUGGCCAAUCAAAACAAGGGUUAUCCAUGUUCGUGCCAUGCCGUCGUGUGCUUAAUUUUUUUUUCUCGUACCUUGCCCAUAUAUGUUGUGUUGUGUCUAAAAAAAAGUUCAAUAAUUUUUUUUAGUUUUUUAAAAGCACGUACUAAGUAAUUGGUAUAUUUUUUUUAAGUUUAUGUUUUUUUUAGGUCUAUACCUUUAUUCAAAUUUAAUAGAAUUGAAAAUUUAAAAGUCAAGUCUAUAUUUUAUAAUAAUAAACUAAUAAUAGUAAGAGAAUGUAAUAUUAAUUUUUAAGUUUGACAUUUUAACAUUAUUUUUUUUAUACUUAACAACAACAACAAUAGUAAAUUUUUCUUAAGGGUUAACUUAAUUGUUAACUUAGACUUACAUAGAGUCAUAGAUCAUAAUUCACAAUAAUAUUAAUGGAUAUUUAUAAAAUCAUAAUAAUUAUAAUUUUAUUUAUUAAAAUCAUGAUAUCAAUUAUAUAUUUAAUAAAUUAUAAAUAUAAAUCAAUUAUAGUACUUUUUAAACUAAGAAUUAAAUGAAUUUAAAAAAUUCAUUUUCAAGUUAUUUGUAAAACUAUAAAAUUUUAAGUUUACUUUCAUUAAAAAAUAAAAUGUGCUUAUUGUGAACUUUUUUAUCGUGCUAUACUUAGUCCAUUUCUAAUCAUGUAGUGCUUUUAAUGCUCACGUGCUUAAAAUUUUAAGUCUGGCCCAGUCCACGUGCGUACUGUGCCAUACCACAUACCCUACCAAAACGUGCUGGUAUUGUGCCGUACUGUACGAAUACAUGUCGUGCCAUGUGUCAUCUAGUCCAUUGGCCAUCUCUACGCCAGAGUGACAAUAUGCCACAUUGAGAAGAAUUGUGUGCCCCUAAAGCUGGAUUAAUAAUUUAAUUUGAAUUGACAUAUAUAACAGUUGUAGGCUAACCAAUAUUUCCACAGAAAAAAGUAGUUCAAAAUUAUUGGUCGCAUCUUGUCAUAAAUGUUUUAACUCUGCGCAGUUGGUGUAAUAGUUUCGGCUGCUAUUCUCUUUACUACUAGAGCCUAGAGAUGGAGUGAAGCAUAUUGGGAAUUAGGAAAAGAGCGUUGCUUCCUUACAAUUAGGCAGGCGCUAAGUUACGGUUAACGUAACUUACGCCCACACACAGCAACAGUACCACUGGUGGGGCCUGGUACUGUUGCUACGUAAGUUACGUUAUGCCGAGUAGUGUUGUGCCCUAGAAUCUGUUCUACAUUUGUAGUUGUGACUGUUGAGCCAACUUGAUUUGCAAUGAUUUUAGGGAUAUUGUGCCCUGAAAAUUAAUCAAAACUACUUGUUAAAAAGAUUCCGUUUCGUUUUGAAUUUUUUUGUGCCUUUUACUAUUUUAUCCCUAUAAUUAGAUUUAUGAUACAUAAAAUGUCAACAAUUAAUCAAUAAGAGAAAAAAAUUAGUCAUAAGUCUGAUUUUAAUGGUAAAAUAAAAAAUAGACAAAAAAGUACAAAGUUUACGUAAUCAUUUUAAUGCCAAAGAGUUUUAAUGAGUUUUGAAACGUAAGGAGAAAAAUAAUAAAUCUACUAGAACAAUAGGAAGAUUUUGAUCAUUUUCCCACUGAUAUAAAGAAAAACGAUACACACCACACGUCUUGAUAUUGAAAUCGUUGAUGGCGACACAAAAAUCCUGAAGACGGCUAGGGUCAGAGGCAAUGGCCAAUGAACAAGCCAAAACCAAGAGAACAGAAGCUACAGGAAAUUGAACUCCUUUCAUGUUGAUUAGCCACAUGCAAUUCCUUGCUACAUGCAUGCAAAUGUUCAACAUUAUGUGUGAUUGCUCUUAUCAAGCGACAUCAACUAGUCAUCUACCAAUUGAUCUUGGGGCUCAAUAGAAUCUGUUUCACAGCAGAUUUUGCAUAACAAAAAGUAAUGAAGAGAUUAAUUAAUAUAUGUGUGUGUGUGUGUGUACGGAAAAAAUAUAUGUAUAAGGAGAGGCAUGGGAAAGGCUUAGCUGCUAAAUAAAAACAACCAUAAAUUAUGUUUAUUAAAUGGCUACAAUCAGCCUGAAGAGAGGUUCAUGAGAGAGCUUUUUUUUUAACAUUAAUUAAGAUAUGAUAAUCUGGAGCUAAAACAAUAAAGCCACUAGUGAAGAGGCCAUUUAUAUUAAAGCUCAUUAAUUCCUUCUCCUAAUCGCCAUUAAUGAACUUAUGCUGAAGAUCUUUCACUGUCUUCGGGUCCAACUGGAACGCCUUGGCAAGAAAAUCGGGAUUGAUUGGAGGAUUGGCUCCAAAGACCGCGUCGGCUAUGGUAAUUUCACCGGGGAACUGGCUGUUUAGAGCAGAAUAGGCAACUGCAUUUGUUUUUCCAAUGUUGAAUUGGAAAUGAAUCAAACCAAUUGGAAACACAAAAGCAUCUCCCUUAUUCAGAACUUUUGAGAUGAGUGUGUUAUUCAGUUGGUCUGAUGUCACAAAACCGACGUGAAGAGUUCCUUCCAGGACCAACAGGAUUUCACUGGCACGGGGGUGAAUAUGAGGUGGCCUUUGGCCAUAUGGCGCAUAGUCAAUACGGAAUGCUGAUAUGCCAAGGGUAUUGAGUCCUGGAAUUUGCUCCACAUUUGCAUCUGUUUCAUCAACACCAAGUCGAUUUGCUGUGUUUCCAGGCUUGCCAAGCCCGGAAAAGAAGAAAUCUUCUGCUCUCGCAAGCUUGGGGUCCUUGCAGAACUUCCCAUUCACAAACACUACAAGAACGCACAACACAUACACACAAAGGGGGGGAAAAAGGAAUAAUUAAGUAGCAGCACAAAUUAUAUUGAAAAUUAUAUCUUUCGUCAGUUCAGCUUACUUACCACCAUCCUUGGGGUUAUUGAUGGCUACACAGAUAUCUUGAAGAGGGCUAGGGUCAUAGGCAGAAGCCAAAGAAGAAGCCAAAGCCAAGACAGCAAAACCUAUAAGAAAUUGAAUUGCCUUCAUGGUGAUUAAUUAACAGGAACUUUAAUCAAGUGUUGUGAUUUGAGAAUAUAGCGAGGGAACCUAGCCUAUUUAUAGAACGGAGUCCAUGAACGAGUCUGUGAGUUCAAUUUCUUAGUCCUCGAAGCAGGAGAAGACUAACAGAGUCCUCAUUGGUUAUCUUUCUUAGGGCCUGUUCGGUAAUUUUUUCCUCUCAUCUUAAAAUAUAAUUUUUUCCUCUCAUCUUCUUCCUCUCUCUCUCUCUCCCUCGUCGUCAAAUCUUAUCUCUAAGUGUCUCAUCUUCUUCCUUUCUCUCCCUUACCAAGUUAUACUGCUUUUUCCUUUUUUUUCGAUCAUUUUUUCAAUUUAUUAGGAAAUUGGUGGGUGAAGCAGACACGCAGCUAAAAUGAAAUUGUAAGAAAAUAAAGAACAAGCACAAAAAAUAGACACCAGAAAUUACGUGGUUCGGCUUUUAGCCUACGUCUACGGGCGAAGACAGAAGGAAAUAUUUUACUAGUGAAAAAGAGUUACAAGUAUUGUAGUAUUUUAACUCACUUCCCAAAACCUCAAUACACCCAAACUCUCAGAACACUAAUCACUCAAGAGUUUAUUAAACUCUUAAUACUCUCAACUCUAAAGGAAGGCAAUACUUCUCUCUCUCGAUGGAAUUGAAUGCAAAAUGAAAUGGGGAGCUCUGCCUUUUAUAGCCAAAAAAUGGCUAUUAAAUUAUUAUUAUCUUCUUCUUUCUUUUUCUUUUUUUCUUCAUUCCAAAUUUGCUGCUGCCAAAUUCUUCUUCUUUUUCUUUGGACGACACCAAGACCUUCAACAUUUUCUUUGGCCGGCUGUCAAAGCCAACUUUGCUUAUUCAAGGCUUCUAGAUGUUGCAGCCAAUUUUGACAUUCUCCCACUUGGAGAUUAGAUUGAGAAUCAAUCAAUUUCCACACUAUCCUUUUCUGCUUCGCCAUUGUCAUGUUGCCUACGUUUCUGCUAGGCCACAAGAGGAUCUACUCCAGAUAAACUUGUUAGCAUUUAUCGGCUUGGUCAAAACAUCUGCUGGGUUCUCCUUCGUAUGGAUUUUCUGUAAAUCCACAUUUCCGUCUUCCACUACUUCUCGAACGAAGUGAUACUGAACUCCUAUGUGCUUUGUCCUGGAAUGAAAGGCUGGAUUCCUUACAAUGUGCAAGGCACUCUGACUGUCACAAAACACAUAAAUUUUCUCUUGUUUGUGCCCGAGCUCCUCCAAUAAUCUUUAUAUCCAAAUAACUUCCUUGCAAGCUUGUGUAGCUGCCAUGUACUCUGCUUCUGUUGUAGAUAAAGCCACAACGGUCUGCAGUUUCAAAACACAGCUUACAGCUGCUCCCGCAAGUGUAAACACAUAACCAAUAGUGGAUUUUCUUUUAUCGAGAUCUCGUACAAAAUCUGAAUCCACAUAGCCCCUGACAGUAAACUCUGAUCCUCCAUAACAUAAUGCAACAUCUGAGGUUCCUUUGAUGUAUCUCAGAAUCCUCUUUACAACUAUCCAAUGCUCUCCACCGAGAUUCACCAUGUAUCGACUGACUACUCCCACUGCUUGUGCAAUGUCUGGUCUAGUACAUAUUAUAGCGAACAUUAAACUUCUCACUGCUGAUGCAUACGGUACUCAAGACAUCUCUUUCCUCUCUGCUUCAUUACUAGGACACAUACUUGAGGAUAAUUUGAAAUUAACAGGAAGUGGCGUAGAAAUUGACUUACAAUCUUGCAUGUUGAAGCGCCGCAAGAUUUUCUUCAAGUAAUUCUUCUGUGAAAGCCAAAUCUUCCUGUUAUUUAUGUCUCGGUGAAUUUGCAUCCCUAGAAUCUUGUUUACUGGUCCCAAGUCCUUCAUUUCAAACUCCCUAGCCAACUGUGCCUUCAAUUCUUGGACUCGAUCUUUGUUGGGGCAUGCUACCAACAUGUCAUCCACGUACAACAACAAAAUAAUGAAAUCAUUAUCUUCAAACCUCUUGUAAUAUGCACAAUGGUCUGAACUGAGUCUGUUGUAUCCAAGGCUCAUGAUGAAGGAAUCAAAUCUCUCAUACCAACACAUCGGCGCCUGUUUGAGACCGUAUAGAGAUUUGUUCAACUUGCAAACCAAGUUCUCCUUUCCUGAUUCUGCAAAACCUUCUGGUUGGAGCAUAUAUAUUUCUUCUUCAAGUUCUCCAUGAAGAAAUGCAGUUUUCACAUCCAACUGCUCUAGAUGUAGGUCAAAUGUAGCACACAUUGCCAAGACUACUCUGACUGUUGUGAGUCGAACCACCAGAGAAAAUAUCUCGUUGAAGUCAAUACCUUCUUUCUGAGCAUAUCCUUUCACCAUCAGUCUUGUACGAUACCGCUCCACUUAGUCAUUGCCAUCACGUUUGAUCUUAUAGACCCAUUUGUUACCAAUGGCUUUUCUUCCACAUGGUAGCGAUACAAGUUCCCAUGUCUUGUUCUUGUGUAGAGCCUUAAUUUCUUCCUGCAUUGCUGUCAUCCACAAAGCAACAUCUGAGCUGUUUAAAGUUUGCUUCAUGGAAAAUUGAAGGCUCUCCAUCAUCUGUUAGAAGACAAUAUGCAACGUUGAUCUCUGUGACAUACUCCGAGUGCCACGUUGGCGGUCGUCUCUCACGAGUUGACCGACAAACUUCUGGAGCCUCGGACUCGACUGGUUCUUAUUCCUCGUGCUCUGGUGCUGCUUCAGAAGAAUCAGAAUCUUCUGGAUUAUUUUUCACAUAUACCGGUAUAGUCUCUGACUUUUCUUUUACAGUGCCAUCAUCCUCAUCUCUCUUUUGCAGUUGAUCUUCUACAAAAAUAACAUCUCUGCUGAUGACGAUCUUGUGGGCAGUGGGGUCCCACAGACGAUACUCUUUUACUCUAUCAGUAUAUCCCAAGAAGAUACAUCUUCUAGAUUUUGGAUCCAGCUUUGUUCUUUCUUGGGCAUUGUACAUCACGUACACAGGACAUCCAAAUGCAUGUAGGUAAGAAUAAUCAACUGGCUUUCCAAUCCACAUCUUCAUCGCUGUCUUCAGCCCAAUAGCUGUAGAUGGCGACCGAUUUACUAUAUAACAAACAGUUUUGGCUGCUUCUGCCCAGAAUGAAUUGGGUAGACCAGCAGUCCUCAACAUAGCUCUUAUUCUUUCUGUAAGAGUUCUGUUCAUUCGCUCUGCCACUCCGUUUUGUUGAGGAGUGUAUGCUACAGUGAACUGUCUCUGAAUACCUUAUUGCUUACAGAAAGUAAGAAACUCGCCGUCUGUAUAUUCUCCACCAUUAUCCGUCCUCAAGCACUUGAUCUUUUUACCAUAAUCAAGUUCCACCCACGCUUUGUAUUCUUUAAACACUGGAAAUACAUAUGACUUUUUCUUAAUUGGAUACACCCAACAUCUUCUGGAAUAAUCAUCAAUGAAAGUCACCAUGUACUUUGCACCUCCCAUGGAUAUAUCCGGUGAUUCCCAAACAUCAGAAUGAAUCAAGUCUAGAAUGCAUUUACUUCUAGCAAUAGAUCUACUGAAUUUUAAUCUAUGCUGCUUACUUAUAACACAAUGCUCGCGAAAUGGUAAACUUACCGAUUUGAGCCCUGGAAGCAAUUUUCACUCAGAGAGAAUCUUCAAAUCUUGUUCUGACAUGUGGCCAAGUUUGAGAUGCCACAUCAUCGUUGACUCUUCUCCAUUUGAUGCGACACACGCAUCAGCCUCCUGUAGUGUUUCUCCUUUAAGCAUGAAUAGAUUAGCACCAAUCUUUUCUGCCUUCAUCAAUACAAGCGCUCCUUUAACAAUCUUCAUAAUUUCAUUCUCCACAUGAGUUUUGCACCCAUGACUGUCUAUUUGUCCCAAAGACAAUAGAUUUUUUUUCAGGCCAUUGACAUGUCGUACCUCCCCAAUUGUGCUAAUUGUACCAUCAAAUAUUUUUAUUUUGAUAGUACCAAUACCAGCGAUCUCCAAGGCAUGAUCAUUACCCAUAUAUACAGAUCCUCCUGAGAUAUGUUCAUAUGUGUGGAACCAUUUUCUCCUAGAGGUCAUGUACCAGGUAGCUCCUGAGUCUAUAAGCCAGACAUCAGAUAGUCGUUUUCUGCCUUCUGAAACAAUUGUUGCCUCGCUGUAAAGAAUUUCGCCAUCAUCCGAGGUACUUGCUACACACCCCUGAGCAUUUGAUGACUCAGGUUCUUUGUCGUAUUUUCUCUUCUGGUUACUCCAACACUCUUUCUUGACGUGCUCUUUCUUGCCACAGUUGUAACAUUUAACAUUCUUCUUACUUCUGGAUUUUGAUCUACCGUGAUUUUGACUCCCACUGGGGCCACAUUUCUUUGAUCUCCCUCUCGUCACCGAUAGCACCUCCGCUUGUUGCGAACUUGCUUGUCUAUUUUUCUUAUUUUUCCGUCUGCUCUCCUCAUUUAUUACGGAGGCUGCAACAUCGUCGAAAACUAGAUUGGCUGCUGGAUUGUUGUUUGUUAGGUUGAUGAUGAGUUGAUCAUACAAAUCUAGUAGACUUUGAAGUAGAAGCUCUGCACGUUCAUUUUCCUCUAUAUUAUGACCCAACGUUGUAAGUUGUGAAAAUAGAGUCUUCAAGGUGUUGAUGUGGUCGGUCACCAUUGUAGAUUCCGCCAUUCGAAGAGUAUAGAGUUUCCUCUUCAAGAAGAUUUUGUUGUGUAGUAACUUGGCCUCGUACAAUUUUGUGAGAGUAUCCCAAAUUUCCUUCGCUGUAUUUUUCUCUGCCACACUGGAUAAUACUCCGUCUGCAAGUGCCAAGUGUAAAUCAGAAAUGGCGUUGCCAUCUAUCUCGUUCCACUUGUCAUCAGUUAUCUCCAUGGGCCUUUCUCCAAUUGCUGCCAAGCAAUUAUUUUUCCUCAAUACAGCUUUCAUCUUCAUUUUCCACAACGAAAAAUUAUUUCUGUUAAACUUCUCAAUUUCAUACUUUGCCGCCAUUUUGUUGAUAAAUACCGCACACAAGCUAGUGUACCACCUUGAAUAGUUGUGAGUAUGUGUGAGAAUGUACACCAGGAAAGUUCCCAGGAAAGACUGGAGGGGUCACAAUGGUCCCACUUAAAACCCAGACUCCUUAAGCUCUUAUUAUCUUUGUGACAGAAUUUUCCUAGACAUGUACAAAACCACACAGUUGCUUUAUUGACACCAUUAUUCCCUGCUUUGCACCGCAAAAUUCUUGGUCGCUCCCACCGUUUCACGUGAAUAGUACCGUAUACGUGAAUAGUAUCGUAUACGCGAACAAUACCGUAUACAUAAAUAGUACCCCUUACGUGAACAAUACCUCGACUCUAAAAAUACAACCAAUAGCUCUGAUACCACUGUUAAGAAAUUGGUGGGUGAAGCAGACACGCAGCUAAAAUGAAAUUGUAAGAAAAUAAAGAACAAGCACAAAAAAUAGACACCAGAAAUUACGUGGUUCGGCUUUUAGCCUACGUCCAUGGGCGAAGACAGAAGGAAAUAUUUUACUAGUGAAAAUGAGUUACAAGUAUUGUAGUAUUUUAGCUCACUUCCCAAAACCUCAAUACACCCAAACUCUCAUAACACUAAUCACUCAAGAGUUUAUUAAACUCUUAAUACUCUCAACUCUAAAGGAAGGCAAUGCUUCUCUCUCUCGAUGGAAUUGAAUGCAAAAUGAAAUGGGGAGCUCUGCCUUUUAUAGCCAAAAAAUGGCUAUUAAAUUAUUAUUAUCUUCUUCUUUCUUUCUUUUUUUCUUCAUCCUAAAUUUGCUGCUGCCAAAUUCUUCUUCUUUUUCUUUGGACGGCACUAAAACCUUCAACAUUUUCUUUGGCCGGCUGUCAAAGCCAACUUUGCUUAGUCAAGGCUUCUAGAUGCUGCAGCUAACUAUGGCCAAUGGGCCGUGCCGGCAACCAACUAUCGGCCCACAAGGGCUCGUGGGCCGGCACGGCACGACCCACUAAAUUGGUGGGCCGUGCCGUGCCGUGCCUAUAUUUUUUUCAAUUGAGCCCGGCACAGCCCAUGGCACGAGCCCGCUCGUGCCGUGCUCGUGCCAUGCCGUGGGCCAUGCCCAAAAAAAGCCCACCAAUUUUUAUUUUUUUUUAGCGUGCUUAAAAAAGUCCACGUGCCUAGCGUGCUUUAUUCAAGCCCACGUGCCUGACAUGCUUUUUUAAGCCCACCAACAUAAUAAUAAUAAUAAUAUUCACAAUCAUAAUCAUAUUAAUUUUUAUUAAGAGAGCAAUUAACAUUUUAUUAUUAGUUUAUCACAAUUUCACAACUAUAUAUUUUAUUUCACAAUAAUCAAUCAUAAUUCAUAACACAACAAUACAUAAAUUUAAUUAAAUUUAAUUCCAUAGAUCAUAAUAAUAAUUAAUUAAAAUUAAAAAUACAAUCCUCGAAUAAUCAUUACAAUAAGUCAUAACUACGAAAUAUUAAUAUAACAAAUCAUUUAUUUAAACUAAGAUUUAAUGAUUUAAAUUAAUUUUUAAAAGUCUAUGCUAAAAAAUAUAUUAAAACAUUUAAUUUCAUAACAUUUAAUAUUUACUUUUUGUUAAAAAAAUUUACUUAGAUAUAUUUUGACCCACGUGCUAUUAAUGGCUCACGGGCCGCGUGCUUUUUCGCGUGCCGUGCUUUGGCCCAUCUCUAAUCGUGCCGUGCUUUAAGGCCCGCGUGCCUAAAAUUCUAGGCCCGGCACGGCCCACGUGCGUGCCGUGCCGUGCCUCGUGCCUCACCGAAACGUGCUCGUGCCGUGCCGUGCCGUGCCCGUGCCGUGCCACGUGCCGCCCGACCCAUUGCCCACUUUUAGCUGCAGCCAAUUUUGACACAAUUGACAUUGUGUUUUCCUUCAAUUUACUCAACUCAUUGGAAAGAAACGAGUUGAAGAAUUUAUGAAAAUGGGUGAGAAAGAAAUUCACGUCUUUGGCAACAGACUAACAGUUAGAGAGUCAUGUUCUGUAGAUAUCGAUGUUUCUGGACCUGAUUGGUUUGUCGUUGGACUUAAUGGAGAGGCAAGAUUAGGCUUUUUUUUUUUUUCUUUUCAUAGCAAUUUUCGUAGCUUCUUUAACCAUUUUUAGUUCUAUUAAUGCUUUACCAAGUCAAUGAUGCACGUGUUUUUUUCAUAACGUGUUAAAGUCACAAAUCAUCUGCUUCAAGAGAAAACAGACUAGGAUCAGAAAGGAACCAAAAGUCUUCCAUCUUAUUUUCUGUGUUCACGUUAAUUAGAAGCUGGAGUCGGCACGUUUUGCUAGAGAUAUCCUUCUACAAUCUCAAUUGAUAUAAUAUCAUUUCAACUUUAAUGGCUGCCCGAGGUUUACCGACCGGCUAGCUCAUUUUUUUUUUCAUAAAAAUUUGUUACCUUCGUUUGUUAUAUAAUAAGGGGGAUACUGGAAUAAAAGAGAAUGGAAAAUGCUAAGUAUCAAGAAGAAUGAGAGAAAGCUGAGAGAAUGAAGCAUGUGCUAAGAGAAGAGAGAGAGAGAAAAAGUUAACAGAAGAGAGAGAGAUGAAGCAAAACGGCAACCUGAAUUGUAGUUUCUCUCAGCUUUCUCUCGUUCUUCUAGCCAUCUAGCAGCACUCAAAGAGAAUAAUUCUUUGCAUAAUUAAAGCGUCAAAAAGAAUUAUUCUCUUUGAGUGUUGCUAUAUGACUAGAAGAACGAGAGAAAGCUGAGAGAAACUAAAAUCCAGGUUGUCGUUUUGCUUCAUCUCUCUCUCUUCUGUCAGCUUUUUCUCUCUCUCUCUUCUCUCAGCACAUGCUUCAUUCUCUCAACUUUCUCUCAUUCUUCUUGAUACUUAGCAUUUUCCUUAUGUAAUUGAUCCCCUGUCAUUGGGAUUGUACCAUUAUAUAUUAUUUGGUGUUUGUUUUUUAUUUAAAAUCUGAAUAAGUUUAAAGUAGUAUGAAUUUUAAAUAAAUUUAAAUGCAUGAAUUUGAAUAACGUAUUUAUUUAUUUUUUGUCACAAACUUUGAGAAUAAAUAUUAAGUUAUUUUUAACUUAAAAAAUCUAAAAAUCAAAACCUUUACAUUUGUGUCCUUACAAUUUUAAAUGUUAAAUAUAUAAUGAACAUCUCAAAAAAUAUAAGUAAGAUAGUAUUUUAUCAUAACAUAAAUGGUGCUCAAUGAAUGCAACCUAUUAAUAUUCUAAAUUAGAAUUAUAUUAAUAAAAUUUUGUGAAGAUAAAUAAUUCUAGUUUGAAGAAAAUAAAAAGAUAAAAAUAAUGAUAAUUUUCUACUAUAUUAGUAAGCUUUAUUUAGGUAAGGAGGAAAAUAAAUUAAUUAGAUAAAGGUAUUGCAGAGAAUAUUUUUCAAUGAUGUGAUUCAAAAUUUUCAGAUUAAGUAAAAAGCUAAACAAAAUAAUUAGCUUAAAAACUUAAUGACUUAUCAAUCACUAAAUUUUUUUAUUAAAUUGAAAAAAUUAAUAGAAUUAUGGUCCAUUUAGGAUUUAUUUCGGGAGGUGCUUUUGAAAAGUUUAAAAGCUAAUUUUGAUGUUUGACAAUUUUUUUUAAAAAAUCACUUUUAGUAAAAUUACCCUAUCAUACAACAAAUUUUUAAAAGUAGAGGAAGGGUAGUUUUUUAAAAUCUGAUUUCGAGAAUCACUUUUAUACUUAAUACAAUUUCAUAUAUAUUUUGAUAUAUAGGAAAAAAUCCAAAACCAUCCUUAUAAAUUAGAAAAUAAAAUUAUUAAUUUUAAAGAGAUUAUUAUUAUUACCAAUUCUAUUGAGAUAACAAAAUAAAAAAUAAAAUUAAAAAUAUAAAAUAUAUAUUUUAGUUAUCAAUUAUUAUUUAUACACAACUAAAAAUAUUUUAUUUACAUGUUUAUAAAUGUGUAAAUAAUUUUUAUUCAACAAUAUGUUUAAUUUAAUUAUUUACAUUGUUAAAAUAUUUUAACAGUAAGAUCUACUAAACAUUUAAUUGAUUCUCUACACAACUGAUUAUUUCUACAGUAUAGCUAACAAUAAUUAUUUUAAAAUUUAUAACAUUAUCAAACUGACCCUUAGUGAUUUAAUUGACUAAAAUUAAGUCAAUUAAAUCAUUAAGUUAGGAAAACAAACUGCCCUUUAGUAAAUUUCUUAAUGCAAAUAUUAUUAAACUAUAAUGCAAUUAAAAAUAAUAAUCUCUUCCUCUAUUCACUUUUUUAAUUACAAUUAGUUUCAGUAGCUAUUUUGAAUGACAAACUGAAUUGAUCGCGAUAUAAUAAUCUCUUCUUUCAAUCAUAUGAGCAUGUUUGAGCCACUGAGGUAGCUGUGGGAAUUUGUUUUCGUUGAUUUCUGCACUGGGCUUUUUAGGAUUAUUUGUAAAGGCAUUAAUUAAGUAUUUUUAAUGGGUUUAUAUGUAAAUUAGAUUGUAUGUGAUAUUAAAGGUUUGUCAACCAAUCUGGCAACCAUUAAUUAAGUUAAAAUCCAUUCGUGUCAGUAUUUAAGAUACGUGUCACAUUCUGGCAACAAUCUUAAUAUGUGUUUCCAUUCGAACUUUCCACUGGCUGCUUGACCCAUCUAAGUUAUGAAAAAGUUUCUGAGAAAAUGAAAAAAUAAUCCAUGGCCGUGGAAAUAAUCGAACGCCGCCAGCUGUAUUGUAUGAUUCUAUGAGCGAUUUAUCAUUUCUUUUUUCUUUUUAUUUCGACAAUUUAUUACUGACUACUGUAUUGCAGGCUUGUAGCCAUUAAGUGUUUGGAUAAUUUAUCCCAUUAUUUUCAAAUAUAAUCCAGAUAUAAUUCUAGAUUAUGCUGGUAGAAACAUCGUCUCAAAGAUUCUAUUGGGUCAUCAAUAGCUGUAUAUAUCUUGAAGGGGACUAAUUUUUCUAGGAUAUGCUGGUGGAAAAUUUUGCCCCACGUAACUACUAUGAAUGAGUCUUUGUUGCUUAAUUAAGACUCUAAUCUCUCUUUCUAGACUGCAAGGUAAGUUUAAGCUAGAAACAUUAUAUCAAGGUGUACACAUUUUCAUCAAAUAUAAUUGUAGACUUUCUGGUCACACAUUUUACCAUUUAGUCCAUAAUUUUUCAAAAUACCUAUUACGUUUCUAAUAUUAUACUUUUAUGUUUGAAUUAGUCUGUUGAGCUAUACAUGUGACUUUUUAACAUAGAAUACCCUACAUACCUUUUAGUAGGGGAUUUAAAAAAAAGAGCGCAUUAUAUUAAACUAAGGUAGCAUUUGUUUUUUUUUUUUUUUUGUCUGAAAUCUAAAUGAAUCUGAAUUUUUCUAAAGUCUGAAAGGGUCUGAUAAUGAAAAUUUCAAUAAUAUGUUUAUUUUUCUUUUUUAAAUAUCUGAAUAUAAGUGACAUUUUGUUUGUUUUUAAAAUAAAAACAUCUUAAACUUGGUUAUUUGACAUUUAUGUCCUUGUAAAUUCAAAAAAAAAAAAGAGAAUUAGAUUUUAUAGUUUAGGAAAUAAGUUAUUUUACAGAGAUAUUUUUAGAAUAUAAUAUUUACUUGUCUUUCAGACCUUUUUUCAUACAGAUAAAAGUCACAAAGUUUAUUUUUUCUAUUUAUAUGUAAAUGUCUGAAAAUCAGACAUAAGUUCCAAAAAAACAAACAAGUAUAUUUUAGAAAAGGUCUGAAAUUAAUAAAAUUUCAAACUUCAGACAUUUAACAAACAAUCUCUAAGUGUAUGUUUAAUAUGAUUUAUCUAAUGGUCAUAAGUGCUUAUCUAAUCCCAUAAAUUCCUUUUAAAAUUAUUAUUAUUGUUUGAUUGCAUUUUAAGUAAAGUUUUUAAGGAUUAAAUAAAUUUUUUUGUCUCUACUAACAAAAACUUAAAUUUUAAAAUUUUGAGAGUAUAGAUUAGAGAGACCUUUUAAAAAGUUAAAUCGUCCAAAAUGUUCCAUUAUUUAUUUCACAAUAUUAUGACAUUUCUCUCUCUCUCUCUCUCUCUCUAUAUAUAUAUAUAUAUCUUAAUUUUAAAAAUUUAUCUAUUAAAAUAAUUUUAUAUAAUUUUUAACAAAGAUCUCAUCGACAACCAAACAACUAAAAUUUCUUUAAUAAAAGCUUCACUUAUAAAAAUUUUACUAACAAAAACUUUAUUUGAAUAAAUUUUAUCAGAAAAAUUAUACCAAACGAAGCUAACAAUAAGAUUAUAAUAGUAAAAGAAUUCAAUAAUUGCACUCUUAAUGUUACCAUUUAAAAAUUAUUAAGUUAAGAAUGAAAUAGGUAAUUUGGGAAACCCAUCUGGAGGGAUUUGCUUAACAUCCUUUAAAAUUUUUUCCCAGCUGGAAGUAAUUGCUGAACAUCCUUUUCAAUUCCCGAGUAUUAUCUAAUCAGCUUAUUUUGUCAUUUUUAGGUGUUUGCGAAGGCUUUUGGCAAGGAUACUGGGUUGGCUUACGUGUAGUGGACUGAUCAUGUUGACUUUGUUCGGUAGCACAUUUUAUUUUACGCGUGUCUAGUUGUAACCAUGUCUCUCACUGUAUACACCAGUGUGAGUGGGUCCGCCUACUAUUUUAUGACAAUUUAUGUUAUACUGACAAUAUUUUUCGUGCCGAUCACAAGUUUGAAGUUUUGCUUCUCUCGAAGAACUGGCUCCUUUCAUUUAUUUAUUUAUUAAAAUUUACAUUUUUUUUCCGUUUCCUUGCAAGAAAGGUAAUUAGAUUAAGUUUAACGGGGCGAUGAUGUUUUCCAUUAAAUAAGUAAAACACAAUUUUAUGCCAGAGUAGAAAUGGCCAAUCAAAACAAGGGUUAUCCAUGUUCGUGCCAUGCCGUCGUGUGCUUAAUUUUUUUUUCUCGUACCUUGCCCAUAUAUGUUGUGUUGUGUCUAAAAAAAAGUUCAAUAAUUUUUUUUAGUUUUUUAAAAGCACGUACUAAGUAAUUGGUAUAUUUUUUUUAAGUUUAUGUUUUUUUUAGGUCUAUACCUUUAUUCAAAUUUAAUAGAAUUGAAAAUUUAAAAGUCAAGUCUAUAUUUUAUAAUAAUAAACUAAUAAUAGUAAGAGAAUGUAAUAUUAAUUUUUAAGUUUGACAUUUUAACAUUAUUUUUUUUAUACUUAACAACAACAACAAUAGUAAAUUUUUCUUAAGGGUUAACUUAAUUGUUAACUUAGACUUACAUAGAGUCAUAGAUCAUAAUUCACAAUAAUAUUAAUGGAUAUUUAUAAAAUCAUAAUAAUUAUAAUUUUAUUUAUUAAAAUCAUGAUAUCAAUUAUAUAUUUAAUAAAUUAUAAAUAUAAAUCAAUUAUAGUACUUUUUAAACUAAGAAUUAAAUGAAUUUAAAAAAUUCAUUUUCAAGUUAUUUGUAAAACUAUAAAAUUUUAAGUUUACUUUCAUUAAAAAAUAAAAUGUGCUUAUUGUGAACUUUUUUAUCGUGCUAUACUUAGUCCAUUUCUAAUCAUGUAGUGCUUUUAAUGCCACGUGCUUAAAAUUUUAAGUCUGGCCCAGUCCACGUGCGUACUGUGCCAUACCACAUACCCUACCAAAACGUGCUGGUAUUGUGCCGUACUGUACGAAUACAUGUCGUGCCAUGUGUCAUCUAGUCCAUUGGCCAUCUCUACGCCAGAGUGACAAUAUGCCACAUUGAGAAGAAUUGUGUGCCCCUAAAGCUGGAUUAAUAAUUUAAUUUGAAUUGACAUAUAUAACAGUUGUAGGCUAACCAAUAUUUCCACAGAAAAAAGUAGUUCAAAAUUAUUGGUCGCAUCUUGUCAUAAAUUUUUUAACUCUGCGCAGUUGGUGUAAUAGUUUCGGCUGCUAUUCUCUUUACUACUAGAGCCUAGAGAUGGAGUGAAGCAUAUUGGGAAUUAGGAAAAGAGCGUUGCUUCCUUACAAUUAGGCAGGCGCUAAGUUACGGUUAACGUAACUUACGCCCACACACAGCAACAGUACCACUGGUGGGGCCUGGUACUGUUGCUACGUAAGUUACGUUAUGCCGAGUAGUGUUGUGCCCUAGAAUCUGUUCUACAUUUGCAGUUGUGACUGUUGAGCCAACUUGAUUUGCAAUGCUUUUAGGUAUAUUGUGCCCUGAAAAUUAAUCAAAACUACUUGUGAAAAGGCGAUUUGAACUCAAAAUUUUGCUUUCUACACCCAUUUUCUCAACACACCCACAAAAUAAAUUUGAAAAAUAAAAUUAUACUCUAUGAAUCCUUCAAAAAUCCAAAAAUAACCCUAUAUUAUCUUCGUUCACUUUUUUCUUCCCUCUCCCUUCUUAUACAGUAUUGAAUGGUGACAACAACUUUGAUUCACCUUGCUAAUAUUAAAAACUAUCCUAAUUGACAAAUCCAUGAAGAAAUAAACUUUGAUGAUGUGCACCAAUAAAUUGAAAUUUUUGAGCCAACAACAAACUACUGAAUAUAUUACGGAUGGGUUUACAUUGAAAUUGUCCAUUUCUUUUUCAUCCAUUGCCUUUCACGAAAAUCUUUAUAAUUUCAUAUUCUAACUGCAAGAUGCAAAAAAUUCUUCAUGUUUUUUCAUCUAUCGCCAUAAUUGCCAUAGAGUUCAUUAGCUUAAUUAACUAUUAGUUAUACAUAUCAAGGAGUCUAUUUUUCCUUUAACUCUUGAAUCAUCAAAUUCAAAUAUUUCUAUUGUUCGAUUUUUCUAUCUGAUUGUGUAUUUUCAUGAGAUGCAGAAAAUUAUUUUUAGCUUAUGCAGAAUUUUCAUUUUCUCAGUAACUAAGUUUUUUUUUUUUUUUUGGUCUGUCCUUAAUGGUAAUUGUCAUAAAGGGUAAUUUGACAAUACAAGUUAUUGUGAAAUUAUAGGUGUAAAGAGUUGUUUUGUGGGUUUAAAUAGUCCUACCCUUUGCGGAAUUAUUUAUUAAACAUCUAAAUUAAUAGUAUGUAUGAAAUAAAUGGCAUCCCACACAAAUAUAAAUAAUAAUUUUACUUGAAUUAAAUACCCAAAUCCUAUAUUAUAAUAUUAUGCGUAAGAAAAUUUACACAUACUAUCAUUUUAUUAAAAUUUGGACUAGCUGAAGAAUAUUAUUCAUUCAGAUUUAUCAACCAUAAGUCACUUUGUUAAACCAUGAUUAUUGUAGAAUGAAAAAUCAUUCUUGUCAAGUAUAAAUGGACGAACUGUUUAUUGUCAACCUUUAUAUAGUUGUAUAAAUAAUUAAUCUUUGUAUAACUUAAAAUUAUUGUUUAUGCUAUCAGUCGUAAUGAAUUGGAAGUAGAUGAUUUUAAUUUGCAAAUGGUUUGGCUUCCAUCUCUGUAACUAUUUUAGUAUUUUUUUUUAAAAAAAGCUCAUUAAACAAAUAAAGUUGACUAAAGUAUUCUCUAAAUGCCGACUGCUUUAGUUAACAAGGCUCAAAAACUUUUAAGAAGAAUUGGGCCUGAAAUGAUAAUGCAUGGUGGAUAGAUUCUAAUGCAACCAAGCAUGUGUGCAAAGAUCAUAGCCUUUUCACAUCUUACAAAGUAAUGGAUGAUAGGAAUGUUCUUUAUGUGGGAAAUUCCUUCAUGCAGCAAUUAAAAGAAAAGGCAAUGUACAACUAGAGUAUAUUUAUGGAAAAAUCUUAACUCUUACUGAUGUUUAUCAUAUACCUAAAGUUAAGAAGAAUCUUGCAUUUGGUUGCCUCAAUAAAUUUGGCUUCAAACCUGUAUUUGAGUAAAAAAUAAUUUAUAUUGUCUAAGGAUGCAUGUAUGAGGGAAAGUUUAAACUCAUUAAUAAAAUGAAUGUUUCUUCUACUUACAUGAUUGACUCAUUAUUUUUGUGGCAUAAUUAUUUAGGACAGGUGAAUAUUAGAAGAUUGCAUGAUAUAGCUAAUUUAGAAUUAAUUCCUAAAUAUGAAAAUGAUAUGCAUGAAAAAUGUAAAGUGUGUGCGUAGACUAAAAUCACAAGAACUCCUUUUCCAACAAUUGAAAAAAUAUAUUCUUUGAUGCAUUUAAUUCAUAGUGAUAUAUGUGAUAUGCAUAGUAAUCCUACUAAAGGUGGUAAAAAAUAUUUUGUAAUGUUUAUUGAUGAUUUUUCAAAAAUAUUGCUAUGUAUAUUUAUUACCUUCUAAAGAUCAAGUGUUAGCCAAAUCCAAAAUUUAUAAAAAUCAAGUUGAGAAUUUUUAUGACAUUAAAAUUAAAUGCAUCAGAAGUGAUAAAGGAGAUGAAUAUGCAUUUUUUGAAUUUUGUGAAUCUACUGGCAUUGUGCAUGAAACUAGUAUUGGAUAUACGCGACAACAAAAUGGCAUAUCUAAAAGGAAGAAUAGGAUGCUAAUAGAAAUGGUUAAUGUUACGAUUUUUAAUGUUGGGCUUGGUAAAGAUUUUUGCGAUGAAGCUCUUUUAACUAAAUGUCAUAUCUUGAAUGGUGUGCCUAAUAAGAAAACAAAAGCGAUCCCUUAUGAAUUAUGAAAAAAUAGAAAGCCUAAUCUUUCACUACUACAAAAUUAGUCAAUAAUGACGGUUCUAAGCGACAUAAAAUGACGGUUUUAAAACCGUCAUCUUAGGCAGCAACAUUAAAAAGAGUAUACUUUUUAUGACAGUUCAAUAACCGUCAUUAAAUGUAUAUUUUUAAUGACAGUUAUUUUCUAAAUAGUCAUUAUUUAUAGUAACUAUGUAUGUUUUCAUGAUGGUUAUUUCGUAUAACCGUCAUUAAAUAUAUACAUUUAAUGACGGUUAUAUGAAAUAACCAUUAUUAAAUAUACUUUUUCAUUAAUUUUUUAUGAUGGUUCUUUUUAAAAAAAAACCAUCAUUAAAUCCAUCAUUUUAAUGACAGUUUAUUGUAAAAACAUCAUUAAAUAUUAAAAUAACAUUUAAUUACGGUUUUAAAAAAGAACUGUCAUCUUUGUUGUUGAAGACUACAUUUAACGACGGUUCUUUUCAAAUAACCGUUAUCAUUGUUGUUAAUUAUUAAAAAAAAUAAAUAUGACAAUUUCAUAACCAUUUGAAGCCCCUAUUUUAAUUCUAAUUUCCUGUCAAAUUAUUUACAAUUUUUUUCCACAAAUGUUUCAUAUACAAAAAGAGAGCUCUACAAAAAUCUCUAAUAGUCAUUGAACUUCAACAAAAUAUCAAUUAGCUUUAACAUCAAAAUUCUCACAGCUCUUUAAUACCUACUAAUGAAUCUACUCACAACCAACAAAAUUGGCAUGUGUGAGUACAUCUAAUUUCUCAUCAAGUUUUCAAUUGCAAACGAAUCUCACCACCUUUAGCAAUCUACAUCAUUCUUACAAAGAAUAAAUAAAAAUUAAGAUAAAUUCAUAGAUUAUAAGUCAUAAUAAUUAAAUCAUUUUUAGUAACUUAAGUUGUAAACAAAACUUUAAAGUACCAAAUCAUUAUUAAUUAAUAGACUUACAUUAAAUUUAUCAACCAUGUGUUUAAGUAGUAACAAGUUGCUAUGUAUACAUGUAGGCCACUCCCAUUUAACUUUAUCAAUCUCUCCUUGAGUGUAAAUUUCAGUUCUGUAAAAAUAAAAAUUAAGAAGCAUAUUACUCUAGUUCCAAACUACAAAAAUAAGUAUUUGAUAAUAAACGACAAUACAUUUUUCAAAAUAGAGAAAAUCACAAAGCUUUUAAGCUUCUAAAUCACAAAUUAUAGGUAAAGCAAUUUAGAAUUGAAAUAUACUAUAGCAAUGAUGACUUACAUCCGCUAUUUGCAUAGACUAUCACUCAAAUCUAGCGAUUCGAUAUUCUCAAUUGAUGAAAAUAUGCAACAUGUCUAAAAUAAAUCUUGCAUGCUAACACAAUAAUAAAUUUUGAAAAAAGAAUUUGUACCUUUGCCCCUGGUCAAUUUGAAAAUGAUCUCAAAAAUUUUGAUGGCCAUGAGAAAAUUAACUAACGACCAACAAUUUAUUAUUGAUGUUGUCGGAGGAUUACCAAAUUGAGAAGGAAGUGCUAAAUUCUUGAAUGGCGUUGAGAACUUAAAAAAUCUGAAAUGGAACAUUUAAAAUAGAAAGUAAAUAUAAUUAUCAAUACUCAAAGAUAGUCCACACUUUAUUGCUUAAAAACUUGAGUGGAAAACCCAGCAAAAAAGAAAAGCAAAACAGUGUAAUUUCACUGGUAUUUUUGCUGCUGUCAUGCAGAAAAAACAUAGUAGUCUUACUGCAAAGUUUUUGCAGCUGUUUUGACUGUAUAACAGCGGGCAAAAACAGUAAAAGAAACUACAAUUUGGCUGCUGUUUUUACUGUUGUCAUGCAGUAAAAUAGAGCAGUCUUGCUGCAAAGAUUUUGCAGCUGUUUGGACUGUACAACAACAGCAAAAACAACAAAAAAAACUAUAUUUUGGCUGCUGUUUUUACCGCUGUCAUGCGGUAAAGCAGAGCUGCUGUUUUUACCGCUGUCAUGCGGUAAAGCAGAGCUGCUGUUUUGACUGUAUAACAGCAGGAAAAACAGAAAAAAAAACUGUAAUUUGGCUGCAGCAAAAACAACAGAAAAACUAUAGUUUGGCUGCUGUUUUUACAUUUAUCAUGCAGUGAAAAUACAGCAGUCUCACUGCAAAAAUUUUGCUGCUGUUCUUACUGUAUAAAAAUAGUAAUACAUCACCUUAAAUAAGAGAAAAAAAUUCUUUCAGCUACUACACAUUUAAUUUAAUUCAACUUAAAUCCUUCAUAUUGUAGAGAGUGAGAGAUUGAUUCUAUAGAAUAAAGAGAAAUUAAGAUAAUUCAUAUAUUAUAAGCCAGUAUCUUCACCAUGACUGGCAACUUCCACAAGCAAUUCAUUUGCUCUUUUCCAUGAGGACUCAUCAGAACUGAAUAAGCAAACAACACCAUUAUAAAAGAAUGAAUAUAUGUCUGAUUUGAAAUGAGCAAAACCUAGGUUAUGAGCAGCACAGAAAUGCAAAAAGAAAAAGGGAAUGUCUUUCUCUGUAAAUACAUGUAGAUAGAUGUUUGCAGAUGCAUGCAAGGGAAAAAAGAAUGUCUUUCUACAUUCUCAAGGCUCCAAUUGAAGCACUAACAGGUACAUUUAUGCAAAAAUAUAAGAAGAAAAAUAAUGUAUGAUACCUGUAGUCCCUGAGGAGUAAGCAAAUGUAUUUCGAUACGUGUACAUUUCCUGAAAGAAGAUUGAACUAUAAAUAGACUGCCAAUGGAUCAAAAUGCACUUUCAACACAAAAUCCAAUUAAAUUUGAAGAUGGCACAAAACAAUUAGUUGAAAAUUGUACUCGUGACACCGGAAUGAAUCGCAUAACAAUUCUUUCACAGAGCUUUCGGCAACCAUAUAGCUCAAAAAUCAGAUAGCAGCAUACACUAAAUGGGAACAAUUUUUUUCUCAAUUACAUUAGUAUAAGUCCAAUGCAGGGAAAAAAAUGCACUUUCAAAAUGAAUUACAACUUAAUAACAACAACAAUCAACUAAAAUGUAAGCAAGAAUCAUAGACAAACAAUUUAUAAACCAAAUGAGAUGAAAAUUUCUUUAUUAAAUUAAUAGAAGGUCAGUUGACAGGAAAUAAAGAGAACAAACAAUAAUUGGAUGAAUCAAAACCCUAGAGCAAGAAAAUACAAUAAGAAGGAAGCAUCUGAAACAAGAAAAUGAAAUCAACAGCUCACUGUCUCCCGCGGCGGGCGCGAUGGCUACGGUUGAACGAGCUACAAUGACAACUGCUGUCGAUGAGGUGGCUGAAUCACGAUCAUUGCCGCGAACUAACUAGGACUCUGAAUCACGACCACGAUCUGCCCUACGAGCUAAUCAAAAAAAUUGAAUCGAUUGGCAGCGGUGGAUGGUGCGUGACUGAUGGGCUGACGAUAGUGAAAUUGACAGAGUGAGACGAUGAGACUGGAGAGGGAGAUGGUGAGACCGUGAGAGAGAGAGAGAGAGAGACCAACGAUGCAGAGAGUGAAAGUGAGCAUGAAAGAGAGAGAGACCGGAGAUGGAGAGAAUGAGAGUGAGCGUAAGAGACAGAGAGACCGAAGAUGGAGAGGAGAGUGAGCGGGUGAGAGAGAGGGGGGCGUGGCUGCUGCUGUGCUUGUAGAAUUAGAAAUUAGGUCAUGAUUUUUUUU